UUUUUUUUUUUUUUUAAAAGUUUGGCAUGUUGUGGAACCCAGUGUUAAAUUUAACAGUUUUUUUUUAUUUUUUUGGUUAGUUUUAGGACUAAGGACUAAAAUGAUCAUCUUUUCAUAUACAUUAAGGACUAUUUGGAUGAGAUGAUAUAUAUAAAUUGAGCUGUCAAUAUGGGCUGGCUCACCCCAUUCGGGAUAACACAUACAAACUUUGAAAUUUAACAGGUGGGCUAGCCCAUGUUUGUGAUGGGCCAGAAAAUGGUCGGUCCAGCCCAUAAGUACGUGGGCUAAGGGCUUUGCCGGGACAACCCUCUCUUCUUAAAAGUAUAUUUUUUAUAAUUUUUUAAAUUAAAUUAUAAUUUUAAAAUAUUAUCAUAAAUAUCGACAAGAAAUAUUACAUGGUGUUAAUGUUACUUACUACUUGUUAAUCAAAUCUACAAAUAAAUUAUCUUUAUAAUAUUUAUUAAGUUUGAUUUCAAGUAAAAGAAUAAAUAGCUAAAUAUAAAUAUUAACCUAAUUGUUUUCCAAUGAUCAUAAUAAAACACAAAAACUAUGACAAUAUUCCAUAGGCUACGACAUAUGUAGUGGUUCCCUAGAAAUUUUAGGGAAUUUUUAUUUUAUGUAGUACAUAUUUUAUAAACAUAAUUGUAUUUAAAUAUGUAAUAUUUCAAACUUUAAACNNNNNNNNNNNNNNNNNNNNNNNNNNNNNNNNNNNNNNNNNNNNNNNNNNNNNNNNNNNNNNNNNNNNNNNNNNNNNNNNNNNNNNNNNNNNNNNNNNNNNNNNNNNNNNNNNNNNNNNNNNNNNNNNNNNNNNNNNNNNNNNNNNNNNNNNNNNNNNNNNNNNNUUUUUAAUUAAUUUUUAUUUGGCCCACGGGCCAGCCCUAUCCAUAUUUCUCAAGCCCCACAAAUCGGCAGACUUAUUUAGGUCGGGCUAAAAAGCCCUUUUCUUAAAUGGGCUCCAAAAAUCAUAGCUUAGUCAUAUCAAAUCACGGGUUAGGCCAGGCCGGCCUAACGGGCCUAGCCCAUAUUGACGGCUCUAUACAUAAAGGACCAAAAUACUUCAACUCCUAUACAUCAAGGACAAUUUUGAUCAUUUUCUUGUUUCAUUGAUGUAAAUUAAUAAUUAUGCAACAAACACUUAGUACUUGAGACUUCAGGUAAUUGAAUCUACUAAACGAGCUUAUUAAUAAGAGGUUUUUCUUCUUCUUUUUAUUCAAUCAGGAUAAUCUGAUAGUUUUGGCCAUGAAAGCAACUCAAGGGCACUACUAUGAUAAGUGUAAAUAAAGCCCCGAAAGAAUUUUCCGUGACCACAAGUACACCCCCAUCAAAUUAAAUCACAAUGGCAAGAUAUAAACUUAGUUGCUGAAUGCAUCACAAUAUCUGAAAAAUAACGGAACAUUUAAGGUAACCAGCACCUUGAGAAUGUUAGCACAAGAAGGUUCAUGUUACCAGAACAAGGAGUAUCUGCAGAUACCUACUCCAACGUCCAGAAGAUGGGAGUGUACAAGGGACAUAAUACUGUUACCAACCAGUACAAGAGAACCAUGUCAAAACACAUAUAAGAAAAAGAAGCAAUUAUCUAUUGGAAUUUAAUAGACUUUAACAUAUCAACAACCAUGAAAGAACACCAAUACAAGAGAAAUGACAUUUGCUUAUCAAAUGAACAAUAACUAGUAGUCCACCAAAGAACGACAGUACGUAUAUUGAGUUUUGGGUUAUUACAUAUUCGUAUAUUGAGUUUUGGGUUAUUACAUAUUCUUUUCCUCCAAUUUGAAGGCUUUUGGGUUUACUCUUACAUAAUUAUUACCAAAUCCACUAGAGAACGACAAUACGUAUAUUGUAGAAGUGAACAAAAAGGGAAAAAAAUUCAUUAGAAUUAUAAAGCAGUGUCAUUUUCUGAGUAAAUAGCAAAGUAUUACAACCAUCGCUCCACUAAAUUAAUCAAGGCACUGAGGCACAGCAAAAUAUUCCAUCGCAACCACAUAAUAUACAACUAUAUGCACAUAGUUUGGUACUUGUAUAAUAAGAAUUAUUAAAGAUAAUCUAAAGUAGACCACUUGAGCAAAGUUUAUUAAAAAUAUAAUAUCAACAAAAACUAAAAUAGAAAAAAGAAGAAGGAGAAAAUCAAAACCAAACCUAGGACUUUAAUAUGCAAGCUGGCGACAAUUGGAACUGACGAGAGGCAAGGCAGAUAGAGAGCCAUCAACAAUAAAGAAAAAUCAAAUUGAGGGAGAAGAGAUAUUGAUAGAUAGAGUGAGGGAGAGAUGAUUCGGAUUGCCUAGUGACGACAACCGUUGAUUGUAUAUUCAUUAGCUUGACUCCUCUUUUUGAUGCCAUACCGGAAGAGUCUUCCUCUUCUAUAAAAUCUCAUAGAAUCAUUGUGAGUAAGGCUUUUCAUAUUACUUGUUGAUCGAAGGCGUCAAUGAGUCAUCCACCUUAUCAAACACACUCACCUUCCUCUUCCGCAUUGUUCCUAUCCAGAACAUCUAAAAUCCACCACAAAUCCAAAAUCGUUGUAACACCUCAAAAAUCUACCUAAGACUGAACCAGGAAAAUAGGUGAACCACAGAGGCCCACGAGCCCUUACACGGACUGCGAAACCCCACACGGUCCGUCAAUAUGCCCAUGAAAGCAAGCUAGAGACCCUCCAAGGAGAGUGAGGAACCACAGACCACUAGACGGCCCAUGGAACCCUAUACAGUCCAUCAAGUGUGUAGUGGAAAUGACCGAGUACAACCCCAACUCACUAUAAAGAACCAAGGUGGCCUACAUGGCCCCUGGUGCUUCACAAAGCCUAUGAAGUGGACUGUGAAUAGGGCAGUUCAACCUUCAAGUUUUGGGUCAACUUCAAAUAGUCAUAUCUUUUAGCACAAAAUGAAUUUUGUGGCCCAUGACCUAUCGAAUUAAAAAUCAUUGAGUCAUCUUUCCAACGCCACCAAGGUUGCUAAAAUCUAAGCUCGAAAUAAAAAGUUACUCUUGUUUUAGUAGAUCCCUAUUGGGUAGGGCCAUAACCACGACCCAGUUGAUGGGCCGUGGUCCUAUUGACGGUCUGUCAGUCCCAUCGUGAAGGCCACUUCAUCAGUUUUAAGUUAGGGUCAUUUUGGUCUUUUCCCCUAAGCAUUGGGCACUUAAACUACGUCGUUUGAUGCCUAAACUACGUCGUUUUACUAUGUCUAAGCCUAAUAAUCUAGUCAGACAAUUAUCCAAAAAUCGCCCAACUUAUAGAGAAAAGAAGAGAAAGAGGCAACCAACUCUCCCAAGAACAAGCAAAAGCGUUCUUCGAAGUUCAACCCCGAAAUCCAAAGGAUUUCUCCGUAGAUUUCGUCACCAGGUAUGUGGGAUUUGGCUAGUGGGUUCCUCUCACCCAUUAGGUCCCUAGAAUUUAGUUAGUUCUUUAUAUUCUCAUCAACUAUUCAGAUCUAGGGUUUCUAGAUUUUCAAUAUUUAUUGUGAUUAUAGUUCCUUUGAUCUAAAUAACUUGUUUCUUGAUAAUUUCGUAUAAUUCCAUGCAUAACACUCAUAACCCCAGCUUGUGUAAAUUUAUCCAAGUUCAUGAAUUAUACUUGCUAUGCCAACUAGACAGAAAUUCAUGCCUCAAUUAGCAUGUUAGUUUUUGAGCUAUUCAGUAUAUAGUGCAUUUUAGCUUCAUGAAUAUUCAGGUUGGAGUAGACUUAGCACCGAGUUGGACUAGGGUUUAGCAUAGCCUCAAAGUCCUAGAACUACGUGCUCGCAUAGGUUUAUAAGUCCACUCAGUUGGGCAUCAGAUUCAGUGAUCACACUAUACUUUUUCCUCUAUACCCCUAGCAAGGUAUAUUGCGUCCUCUCGAUGUGGUGUAUACAUUAGACUCCAGGUUUAGCUCACGUGGUUUAUAUCUAUUGAUAGUAGCUCUCAUAGUCAGACUCAUAGUGCAUUGACCAAGUUUUCAACAUUUACUUUAGUAUACAAUUCAACAUGGUAUCUUCAUGAUUAGUACUUGGUCAUUGCAUCUAGUUUUGUUUUCAGUACAUAUCUAUAUCCUUGUUCAAAUUAUAUCAUUGCUCAAUUAUGCUUUGUUGAACUUAUAUAUUUUGUUUAGCUUAGAAUAUCUAUCUUUUGCAUGCUCAUUACAUUCCAAGUAUUGACACAUACUUUGCGCUAAAUCAUUUCAUGAUGUAGGUUCAGACACUCAACAUCCAGAUUACGCUUAGUUUGAUCCUCAAUCAGACUUCUGCAGCUUCGGUGGAGAGUCCUCGUACUUCGAGGACAAUAAAUAUGCUUUAUCUUUUAGUCUUUAUUUUUAGUUUCAGUCUUGCUAAAGUUAGCUCGGGGAAUGUCCGAAAAACUCAAUUUAGUUAGAGGCUUUUCAGACAUAGUAGUAGAUUCAACUCAUGUUCUUAAGUGUUGUUUUAGUCAUCACUAAACUCUUAUUAUAUUUUAGAUUUUUAGACUAGUUGGGUUUUCCCCAUUUCAGCUAUCCAUUAUUUUUAGCUUCUGCAUAGUACAUGGUUUACUUAGUUAUUUUUCAGUAUGCUUGUUAUAUGCUAGACUCAGAGUUAGCUUUGGGUCACUCGUGAUCGUAGGUCCCGUGUUACGUUUAGGGGGUAGCCUCGGGGCGUGAAAAACUUGGUAUCAGAGCAUUAGGUUCAAGAGUCCUAGGUUGUCUGAAAUUCGUACUUAGUAGAGUCUCUUUCAUGCGUGUGAAGCACACCACAUCUAUGAGGGGGAGGCUCUGAAGUGUUUUAAAAAAAACUUCACUUCCUAUUCUAUUCUUAUCGUGCGUGAGGUGUGAUCCAAAGUUUCCUUUCUAAUCCAUCAUUAUACGUUUCUGAUCUUGCCUCUUCGUAAAGCUAACACACGGAAUGCUAAUAAUUGGAGGCGUAAAAUCUAGUAAUACCAAUCUAACCAUAAACUUCAUAUCGUAGAAUAGAUCCUUUCAAACCAUGAUUUCAUAACAUACUCAUAAAGAUACUUAUCUAAAGCAUCUAAAUCAUGAUCAUCUUUCAUAAUGAGAAAAAAUCAAUUGGUAGUAACAUUUUCAUAUAAACAUAUUGAUACAUUAUCUAAAAGUAUCCUUGAUUCAUAAAAUCCCUCAAUUCAUGAUGCAUGCAUAGUCUGAAAGCAUAGUUCAUAAUCAUAAAUAUGCAUAAAACAUGGGUUCAUAUGGAAUUCAUUGAAAACAUAUAAUUAUGAUUAAAUCAUGCAUAAUAAGAUAAAAAAUAGUGAAUUGAUUCAUAAACAAUUGAACCCAUAAGAAAACUUGCAAAACCCUAGAAUUUGGGUUAGAAUCAUAGAAGAGAAAUUGAGAAUUCUUGGGACUCAGAGGAUGGAAAGGGAUCCAUUGAUGAUCUUCCCACAUAUAUUUAUUAACCUAAGCUUUUUAAUUGGAGAAGCAAGCUUGAAGCUUGAACAACCCUAGAAAUUUUCCUUGAUACUUGGGAGAGAAUUUUGAGAUAAAACAUUGAGAGCUUUUGGGGGUGGUUUUGAGUGAAUGAAAGGGAAUGGGUAGUUUUUGAAAGGUAAAAGCAUUUAUAGGACGUAGAAAUAGGCAAUAAAUGACAUAGUUUAGGUGUUAAAAGAAUAGUAAAAGACUCUAAUAACCCUGAACUAAAAACUACCAGAGUGACUUACGGACCCAUGUACGGUCCAUGUAAGCUCCUAUGGACCGUACCGAUCAUUUGUAGGUCGCAAUACUAGAAACCAAAAUCCUUAGUCAAAGCCACGAGCCAUUUCAUAUGGCCCGUCGACCACCCUAGGACCCAAGUCCCUUUCGUAUAAUCAAAGUCCAAAAAUAUCUUCCAAGUCAAAUCACUUUCCACGAGCUCUGAUCUAUGGACCGUCUAGACUUGUAAGGUUCAUACAGUUCACCUAUAUAAGUUAAGGUUCCAAAGUCACCAAGGUUGAAUCUCCUUCUAUGGGUACUUUCUAUGAUCCGUAGAGGUUCCAAUAGACUGUCCUUUUGGUUCGUAGACCUUUGUUUAGGACUUGUCAAUUUUCCAAUUUUCCCACUUGCUUCCACGAGUGCCUCUUAUGGAUCAUAGAUCAUUGUACGGUCCAUAGGUGCAUCCGUGAAAUCCCGCAUGAACAACCAUUUCUAUUUUUUUCUUUCUAACUUAGCUUACCAAGUUUUGUGGUGUUACAACCAUCGGACCUCUGAUAAUAGUAGUCACCACUAUCUGUCCUUGACCUCUCUGUUUCUUUAUCACUAUAUUUUAGCUUUUCCUCCUCAAUUUAUUGAUCAUGAUUCAUCAACCUUGAUAUGUCCAUCUCAUUAAUCAACAUUACGGUUCUACACUCUUUGACCACCAUUUUUGAAACACUGGAAACAAACUUACUCAUCUGAAAUCUAGAAUCAACAACCAUUGCCGAAGCAUAUUUUGAUAGUUGAGUGAACUUUAAAGCAUGUUCAUUCACGCUCAUAUCCCUUUGCCUCAAAUUAAUAAAGUCUUGCACUUUGUCCUCCUCAUCUCAAAGGGAAAUAAUCGGUCAAGAAAUGCUCAUUUGAACUUGUCCCAAUCUAAGGACCCACAUCUAAUUCCCUUUCUUUCUUCUAUUUAUCAAACCAGACUUGAGAAACCCCUUUCAAUUAGUAAGUAGCCAAGUUUUCCCUUUAAACUAGAAUCAUACCCAUAAUGUCCACAAUCUUAUGAAUCCCUUUAGUGAACUCUUAUGGAUCUUCGUCCACCUUGGAACCAUGGAAUUCUAGAGGAUUCAUCCUUAUGAAGUCUCAAACCUUUGUCGCAUCAUAUUGGAUUCAUGGAAGGUACAACCUCUCUCUUAGCUUGAGUCAUCAUAGCUUGAGCCAACACUUGGAAAAUGGCCCUAAAUUUAGCAUGUGAUACUUAGUUGGCCAAACGAUCGACCAAAGCUUGUGGAGCUUCAAGUUCCACAUUCAUAUUCCUUAUCAACACAGCUCUUCUGGAGACAUGUUAUGAAAACACAUAAAAUAAGAGUUAGAAGGAAACAUUUAUAGAGUUCAACUCUAUCACAUGACUUAAGAGUAAUGAAAGAAAUGAAGUUUCUUAAACAUUAUUUAGCUUUCUAUUCAUAUAUGUGGCGCGAUUCACACCCAUGAACAACACUCUACUAACGUGACUCUUCAGACACCCUAUGACUCUUAAACCUUACUCUUUAAGUACCAAGUUUGUCACAACCCAAGACUACCUCCGAACGUGACAUGGUGAAUAAAAUCUCAAAAGACUAAUAAAUGAACCACAUGACAUAGCAUGACACUAAGAUAACAUUAUACCAGAAAUAAAGAGAUAAGCAGAAUAUAAAUCUCAAAUGCCAAUAUCAACAUAUAAGAGAAUCUGAGUACAAAAACCAUAAUGUGGAACAUAUUAUGUCUGACAAUAAGCCUCUACUACAUAAGCGUGUAUAGGACAAGCCCUACCCAACUAGAACAAUCUUAAAACUAAAGUAAAGUUUGAAAUGACUUCAAUGCAUAAGUGUGGCAAUGUCUCCGAACCAUGAGGACUCACCAAAAGUUGUAUAGGCUGAGAGAAUUUGUGCUAACCGCAAGUUGGGUGAGGAGUGCUGAAACCUAUAUUAUAAAACAACAUAUGUGAUAACGCUCAAAUUACCCUCAAAAUAAGUUAAAAGAGUAAGAGGUCAUCGUCAAUAAAAAUACCCAACUAAAAAUCUGGGUCGAAUCCCUAAAGGAACAAUUAGUUGGCAAUUAAAAAGACAAAGAAUUGCAAGCUACGAGUUUGAAUCUCAACUUAAUAAUAAACAAUUAUCAAAGAGAGGAUGGUUUAGUCACACAUAUAAGAAUUGGGCAAAAAACUAAUCAAUUAAGGUAUAAUUGGGAAUUGGGAAAUUCAGAACUCAACACUCAUUCAAUGAUUCAUUGCAAUCUCAACACAUGCUCAUCAAUUAUAGGUAGGCUAGGUCAUCCUUAACAACACUAAUCUAAUUUCGGUCUCAAAGUGCUAUAUCGUGAAAUCUCCUUUCAGUCUUAACCAAGUAAUUCAACACAAUAACCCAAUACCUUAAUUUAGACCUCUUAUUCGAGCAAGCCUUGUAUUCAACAAUGAAAACCUAUUUUUUCUCCUUUCGGUAUCAAACUCAAGAUUCAAAGCUAAAAUGUGGUUAUUAAUCUAAUUCUCCACUUCACGAGUUCUCUUUCGAGCAACCCACAAAGAUCAAAAUCUAGAUCUGAGAUUGCACUCUCAAAUCUUAAAUUCAAACAAGAAAACUAGAUUAAACCUAUUUCAAGAAAACAUGGAAUCACAGACAAAAGUAAUAGAUUAGAAAUUAGAGAUCCAAUUAGCAAUUACACCCACAAUUCAUGCAAUUCAAAGUAAGGAAAAGAAGAUAGAGUAAGAGAUUUUACUAAUAAGAACACAAUCUUCAAUCCAAAGAUGAAUUACAAGGAAACUUGCCUUUAAAAUCUCAACAGAAAAUAUGAAAUCUAAUACUAAAAGUUUUUCACUAGUCUAAGCUAAAAGAUAAAAUUCAAUAUUCUCCAAUUGUAUGAUAAAAAUUAGAUUCUCUUCUAAUGUCUUCUUCUUCCGCCCUUUGUGAGAAUUUGGGUCCAAAUCCGUGAAAUUCUAAUUUUCCCCUGUCCAAAUAGUUGGGCCUCUCAUAAGUGUACUUCACAAAAGUGAACAUAUGUUGGCUAAAGCGACCCUCGCCUUUUUGGGCUCCUUAAAAAAAUGAACCAUGCUUGGUCGCUUGAGAGACCAGUUGACUUCAGUUGACCAUUCGCAAAAGCAAACUUCCUUUCUGUAGGUGCGAUAUCAAAGGUCAUUUUCUGCCAGUUUUAACUUCUUUUUCCACUCUUGUCCAUCAAUUUCCUUUAAAGCAACAAAUAGUUGAAAUCAUCACAAUUAAACAAAUAAUUAUCCACUUUUUUUACUUGACUACCACAAAAUCAUAAGAAAAGAGCCUCAAAUGAGUGGAACUUCACCACUCAUCAAUAGGUAUACGAGAUGUAUGCGACCAAUAUUCAGAAUGUACAGAGCAUGAGGAAAGAUGCAUGAAUAUAGGCAUAAUAACAUAAUAAGUCUGAAAGCAUGAUAAUGCAAUAACCAAGUAAAGUAUGACAUAAAAAUUGAUAAUGUGAUUCUAAAAAACAUAAUACAAAGUCAAUGCAAUAUUUUAAAAAGAGUUAUAAUCAUAUCAUAAGUCUUUUGUCGGAGAUAUUGUUAACCGACAUAAACCAUGUGAGCUAUAACAUGAGUCUAGUGUACUACUCUCACAUCGAAAAUAGAGUGUUCUACUUUCCAAGGUAAGGACCAUAAUAACGAGCUUAUGUGGAUCCACUAACUAGAGUCACUUAAGACUAAGUCCUCUAGGGACACGUAGUUAUGGGACAAGGGGAUUGUUUCUAAUGAACUCCGCUCUACUAACGGGUGAACCUCUAUCCCAAAGUCCUCUCGGUGCUAAAUCCCAAUGGAAACAUGUUUUCACGAUCCAAACUACCUCCUAGACGUGACAUGGCGAAUAGGACCCCAAAAGACCCUAAACAGGCCACUUGAAACAAGCAUAACACUAAGAUGAACAAUAUACAAAAGUAAAGAGAUUAAGUGGAAUAUUAGUCUAAAUACUUCAAUGACAUACGAUACUAAAAAUAAGAGUAGAAUGAACUUACAAGAAGAAACAUAUUAAGUUUGUCAACAAGCCUCUAUAUCAUAGAAGUGACUAGCAAAAAUCCCCAGCUCAUGAAAGAAGUUUGAAAAUUAAAAUGAUUGAAAUAGACAAAAACCCAUAACAUGUGAUCAUGCCCUAGAACAAUGAGGACUCACCACAAGCUAAGAAAAAUUGAACAAAUCUGCUAGUCAUGGUUGGAUGAAGAAACAUUGGACCCUAUAUUAUGAAACAAUAUAGGCACAAAAGAUAAAUGUAUCAGUACUUUGAAUGUACUUAAUAUGGGGAGCAUACAUAAACAUAUAUGUGAAACACGCUAAGUCUUGAGAAUAUAAUGAUGUAUGACCCAGUAAGACAUAUCAAAUCUUGAUAACAAGGUCAAUGUAACAUUUAAAAAUCAUAAAAUAAGCUUAAAUCAUAAUAUUUGAGGAAGUCAUGAACUCUUUAAAGAAAAUCAUAAUCUUUUGUAGGAUGUCUACUAUUAAUUGACAUAGACCAUGUGAGUUAUAACAUCAGAUCGUGUCUUUCCCAUAUCGAAAAGAAAUUGUCCUACUUGUCAUGGUAAGGACCAUGUUCUUAAGCUUAGGUAGAUCCACUAACUAUGUCCAAUCGAAAUGAAGUCUUAUGGGAAAUGUAGUUAUGGGACAAAUGAAUUGCUACUAGAGGCCCGUCCUCUACUAACGGGGGUGCCUCCAUCCUAAAGUCAUCUCGGUGCCAAGUAAACUCGCAAUAGAAAUAAGCAUAAUCAUAUCAUAUUCGUAAUACUUGGAAAGAUAAGAAUAUAAUAAUACCAAUCCAAUCAUAAACUUCACAUCAUAGAAUAGCUCCUUUCAAAAUCAUGAUCUCAUAUCAUAUUCAUAAUGACACUUAUCGUAAGCAUCUAGAUCAUGAUCAUCUUAUAUAAUGAGAAUACUUUACUUUGAAGAAAUAUUUUUCAUAAAACAUAAUGAUAUUUUAACUAAAAGCAUCCUUAAUUGAUAAAUUCUUCAAUUUCAUUAUGAAUGUAUAGUCUCAAAAUAUAGUUCAUAACCAUAACAUAGACCUAUGUCAUGGGUUCAUAUGUAAUUCAAUGAAAAUAUGUUAUUUGAAUCAAAUCAUGAAUAAGAUCAAAUAUAAUGAAUUUGACCAUAAAUAAUUGAAGUCAUGAAGAAUCAUAUAAAAUCCUAAACAAUUGGGUAGAAUUCAUAAAAGAAUUUGAGGAUUUCUUGGGACUCAAUGGAUGAAAGAGAAUUCAUUGAUGAACUUUCCACAUAUCUUGAUAAAUCCAAGAUUUGAAAUUAGAGAAGGAGACUUGAAUGUUUGAAGAAUCCUAAUCCGCUUGAGAGAAUCCUUGAAGAGAAUUUGGAGAGAAAACCUUGAGGGGAUUUUGGGCGUUUGAGUGAAUGAGAGGGAAAUAGGUAGAUUUGAAGAGUAAAAGCAGUUAUAUGACUUAGUUAUAGGGUCAAAAUGACAUAGUUUAUGCGUACAAAUGGUAGGAAAAUACUCAAAUAUCCCUGAUUUAAGACCGUAAGAAGGACUCGACAAACUGACCUACGGUCUGUACAAGUUUCUACGAGCAUCCCUAGAACAAACAUGAGAGGUAUUAUUUUCUUAUCAAAACUAUGAUCAUCUCCCACGGUCCCUAGAUAUUAACCGUAGAACCCAAGGUCAAUAAAAAUUUCACCAAGUCUCGAACUCUUCCUACGACCACUUCCUGCGGACCAUAGGAUCAUGUACGUCCGUUGGUGGUCUUGUCUAACAUACGCAACAACAAAUUUUUGCAACAUCUUUCCAACUCAAUCUACCGAUUUUCGAGGUGUUACACAUGCAUAAUCAUAUCAUAUUCAUAUCAUAAUCUUUGAAAUGGUAAGAAUCAAGUAAUCAUUCAUAACUUCAUAUCAUAAGAAUAACUCCUUUAAAUCAAGAUAUUAUAACAUACUCAUAAAAGAUACUAAUCUAAAGCAUCAAAAUCAUGAUCAUCUUUCAUAAUGAAAAGUACUUCAAUUGAAAAUAUUCAAUUUCAUAAAACAUGUUUGAUACAUUAUUUAAAAGUAUUUUUGAUUCAUAAACUCUUUAAAUCAUCAUGCAUGCAUAUCAACAUAGAUUAGUUUAGAAAUAAAAUACUUGUAUAGCAUGGGUUCAUGUAAACAUCAUUGAAAACAAUUAUAUGAUCAAAUCAUGCAUAUUAAGAUCAAUCCUGAUGAAUAAACUUAUAAUCAAUUAAACCCAUACACAAAUCAUGAAACCCUAUAAUUUGGAUGAGAAUCAUAAAAGAGAUUUUGACCUUUUUCUGAGACUCAAUGGGUGAAGAGGAACUCAUGGAUGAAUUUACCACAUACCUUGAUGAAACCCUAGGUUGAACUUGGAACAGGAGACAUAAAGCUUGAAGGAACCCUUGAUUCACCUUGAGAGAAACUUGGAGAAGAAGACUUGAGGUUUUUCAGAGAAUGAAAGCAAAUGAAGAGGGUUUGAGUCUUAGAAAUUGUUAUAGGUCCUCAAAAUAGCUAGAAAUGUCAUACUUUAGGAAUUGAAAGAGUAGAAAAAUACCCAAUUAACCCUGAGAAAAUAACUAUCGGACCAUUCCAUGGAUCCCAUGUACGGUCCAUACACUGAACCAUAAUUGUACUGCCCAUUUGUACAUCCCUUACUAGAAGUUCACAUAUUUGAUCACAAACCACAGACAACAAUCUACGAGUCUUAGAUCAUCACACGAGACAUACACUCCUCUCGUACAGUGAGCCUUAAUGAUAAGGCCCUCAAGCUUGGGACCACUGAUCGCCAAGUACGGACCGUCAUUUAUUCUAUGGUCCGUACUAGUCAGUCGUCUACCACUUACUGAAAACAUCUAGUCUCAGACGGCCAACUACGAGCAACCAACCAUGACCUAUAUUUUCCAAUACGACUCGUACAAGCUCACCGUGGAACUCAAUGCACCAAAAUCACUAAGUCUGAUGUCCAAUCCAUAAGACAUAAGCACGACCCACAGAUGAUGAGUCCACAAAUUGGACUCAUUUAGGGCUUUAUUUUAAUAGAAAUAGUGUCCUUGAAUGCUUGUUUUAUCUCAAUAUCUGAUUAAAAUGCUAAAGUUUCAGGUAUUUAAAUUUUUAGUGGAAGCAUGGACACUUAGGCUCAAAACGGAGAAAAUAGGGUUAAAAAGAACAAGAAAUGGAAUCCUGCGGAUCGUUGAGUUCAACUUGGCGAGUCGCCGAAACGACAUGAACUGCCCUUCGUUCCAGUACGCGAAGCCUUGAAGGAAGUGGAUCAAAAGGUGAGGAAAAGAGCAGUCGGCGAGUCGCCGAUUAGUUCCGCGAAGCAGCACUGUACCGCCCAAUGAUCCAGAAUGCGAGGAUGCUAAAGGCAAGACACUGAAGGCGAUGAGCUGACCAAAAGGCGGAUCGCCGAGUUUAUCGGCGAUUUCGACUAAUGUCUCCGAACAAUCCUCCGUAGAACAAUCUGUGAAAACUAUAAAUACUAGUUAGAAUUGUAGUCUUAAGGUGGAACAGUUUUAGAGUAAACAAUUAUUAUUAGUCUAUAGUAUUUUUCUCUCAAGCUCUCUCAAGUUGGAGAGGGUUUUGUGGAAACUUGAAGAAAGGAGUUCUUCUUCUCCAAGUUGGAAGUGGGUCUUCUAUAUUCAUUUUCNNNNNNNNNNNNNNNNNNNNNNNNNNNNNNNNNNNNNNNNNNNNNNNNNNNNNNNNNNNNNNNNNNNNNNNNNNNNNNNNNNNNNNNNNNNNNNNNNNNNNNNNNNNNNNNNNNNNNNNNNNNNNNNNNNNNNNNNNNNNNNNNNNNNNNNNNNNNNNNNNNNNNNNNNNNNNNNNNNNNNNNNNNNNNNNNNNNNNNNNNNNNNNNNNNNNNNNNNNNNNNNNNNNNNNNNNNNNNNNNNNNNNNNNNNNNNNNNNNNNNNNNNNNNNNNNNNNNNNNNNNNNNNNNNNGAACUUAUUUCCAUUUAAAGCUUAGCCUAGUCACUAUUAUCUUGCAAAUUUCCUAUUGAAAGCAUGUACCCACCAAUUUAUCUCAACUUGUAUUGCGAUCACAUCCCAAGAACUUUUCCCCAUACUUGAUUUUCUUGUUUAUUUUGCUGUUUGAGUACUUGUUACAAAACCCCCUUUGAUAUUUGACACUUUUGUGUCACCACUUUUUAAUUUACUAUGUCUUUUAUCGCAAAUGUCUUUAACUACGACUAACUUGAAUGAAAUUUUAAUUGGUUGUUAAUUCUCAAAACCGCUCCCUUGGAACACGACCCCAACCCUCGGUUGGGUUACUAUAUUAUUGACGAUCAUAGACACUCAUAUCGUAGGAUAGUGUCGUUAGUCACGAUAAGCAUCAAUAGACCAAUCCAUGAGCCAUCCUAUUGGCUCGUGAAACCAUAUCCAGGACUUGACAUUUUUUCUAAAUUCCAAAGCACUAACUAUGAUCGGGCAUCCAAGACCCGUGGAUAAUGUACGAACUGUACAUGCCUCUCAUGGAUCAGUGCACUAGUAAAUUUUCUAUAACUUUUCACUUCCAAUCUAACUUUUGCACUUCUGAGGUGUUACAAGAGGAGAGACCAAUUAUUGUAAGAAAUAUUGAUAGAGUAAUAGUGAAGAAAUUCCUAUCUUGUAGAGGAAGAAACCUCAAAUUUUGGUCAAUAUAAACUUGAAAUUCAAGUUUUGUUGAUCAAAUUAUCUUGGAAUGAAGAUUUCCUUUAUGAGUAUUGUCUCUAUUUCUUCUUUUAUGAGUAGUUAGAACCUUAACUAGGGGUGUGUGUGCUAGAUGGGGGUGUAAAAUCUUGAAUAGGUAUUGAUUAAUUGAUUAUAAUAUUGAUUUUAUGGCAUUGAUCUAUUGUUGUCUUGAAGUUUUAAUCUAAAAUUAGUGGUUGCAAAUAUUGAUUGAGAUCUCUAACACCAUUUUGGCUUGGAAAAGCAAAAUGGAGUUGGGUAAGACUCAAUAGUGUGGACUUAAUGAAAUUACUCUAUGGGUUUGAGCUAGGGAUGGGAUAAUCCGAGUGAAUUCACAUUUAAUGAUAUGAACCAAGGAUAGUCUAUCUAUUGAAGCAAUGUUUGGUAUUUUGUUUGAAAGGGUCUUGGAGUUUGGAAGAAUCCAAGGGACAUACGCUUGAUACUUCGGGGGAAUAUCAAAGUGUAGCCUAGACCAAGCACUAUCCAUGUAUCAAUCAAUGUUGCAUCAGUUAAUCUUUGUCUAUUUUAGUUAAAAUCUCGAUCUUUAUGUGCACACCCCUAGUCGUUUCCAAACUUAUUAGAUAUUAUUUGUGUUAAUUUCCCAUUUUAUUGAUUAAUAUUGAUGAAAUUGUAUUUGUUAGAUAAAACCCCUAGUUAAUUUUAUAUAUAUAUAUAUGUGUGUGUGUGUGUAUUUGUUGAGAAGUCAAUUUGUUAAUUUGUUUCAUAUAGUGAAAUCAAUAAAAGAAGAGUCUCAUUUGUCAAUCCUUGUGGUUCUACCCCGACCUCAUAAGUUGGGUAAUUAUUUUGUGUAUGACCGCCUAUGCCCUCAAAUAUGGGACAUCAUUGAGCGCUUAUCACUAUCACCCUCAAGCAUAUGAUUAAAUUGAGGUUGCCAACCACUCCUUAGAGAUUUAUUUAUGUUUCUUUUUAGGGUUACAUCCAAAACAAUGGCCAAGUUAGAUAUCUUGAAAUAAUUUUUUGUUCAAUAUCACUUAUCAUGAUUCCACAUAGAGGACCCCUUUUAGAGCUUUAUAAGGAAGACAUUCUCCUCCUUGUUGCGGUUCACUAAUAAAAGUUCCUGAGGAGUUCAACCAACAACUUAUGGCUCACAACACUAUUUUAGAUGAACUCAAAGCUAAUAUGAUCCAUCCUCAAGCUCAAAUGAAAGUUUAUGUUGAUGCUGAGCAUCGUGAAGUUGUGUUCCAGCAUGGUCAUUUGGUUUAUCUUGCGAUCAACCUUUCAAUCUUCGCUCACUAUCUAAAAAUGGUCAUCAAAAGUUAAGUCCUCGUUACUAUAGGCCACAUACUAUCUUAAAAAAAACUGGUGAAGUUACUUAUCGCCUUAAUUUACCCCCUAAUUCAUGGGUACAUCAUGUAUUUCAUGUUUCUUGGAUAAAGUGCACAAUUAAGGAUGUUACUCUAGUCGAGCAACUCCCUCAUUUCUUAUCCGAAGAACUUGAAAUGCAAGUGCAAACUGAAGGUGUAGUAUAAUGUCUUAUACUCUUGAAUGUCCCCUAAGAGGUGUUGAUUAAGUGGAAGGACUUACCAGACUUUGAGAACACUUGGGAAUCCAAUAAAGUCAUUGAUGCACAGUUUCCGCAUUUUCACCUUAAGGACAAGGUGAAACUUGUUGGGGCAGGUAUUGUUAGACAUAUUGUUACUAAGGUCUAUAACCACAGGAAGAAUGGUGACAAUAAGACUUAAAUGUAGCUGUUUUAUUUAUUAAUUACUAUGUAUAUGUAUUUUUAGUAGUUACUAAGAAGGUAACUAGCAAUUUAGGUUGCUAUUUUGUGAUAAAUUAUACUGGAAAAAAGGAAAUAAAGUUGGUUUUGGGUAGGAUUUUCUAUGGCAAAUUUGGAGGUGAAGGUUCCUCGAAAUACCUUGAUUGUCAGAAGUAUUAUGUAUUUUUUAUUUUAUAAAACAUAUUUUAAUUGUUGGUGGUAGUAAAUAAUAGUUGAAUUAUUGUUCCUAUUUUCGUGUUGUGUUUGGAAGUUUACAUAUUAAUUGUUAGGAGAGUUCUAGAUUCCUACCAAAAUGAUCUCCUCGUGUUUGUGGGAGGAGAUCUAAUACCAGUACAACUUCUCCAUGAUUUUUUUCUAUGUUUACAAUUUUUUAAAGAUUGCAAGACAAUUUGUCUAAAUGAGGUAUGCAUUUUGGAGGGCUCUCAGGCAUAAAAAUGUCAAAUAUCCACCUGAAUCUGUGAUAUAACCGUAGAGAGUUUUCAUUUAGAUACAUUUAUGUGCUAGUGUCCACAAAAAAACUCCAUAUUAUUUGAUGACAACUAUUGAUUGUUCAAAUUUUAGCAAAAAUAUCUUCAGGGACAUCCAAAAUAUUAUUCUGUGAAGGAAGAAUAUAGGUUGUCAAGAGAGUGAUUUUUGGGGUUCAAACAUAGUGGGCAGAAUUGUUUGUAAUACGGGUGACCAAAACAGUCCAAACCUAUUGUAAAAGUUGUAUAUUGUCAGGAGAAAAUGUCAUAACUAAGAAGGUAUUAGUACCUUGGGGAAAGAUGUGUACGCCAAAGACUACAUGUUUCACAACUCAACAAAUCCUAAAACAUCUUUCCCUUGUGGUUGAAAAUCCAAAGCAGUCUACUAAGAACAAAGGUUGUCGAAAUGAAAAAUGCAAGUGGAUCAUGUAUGUGUUUUGGGUAAGUAGGCUAAUGAAACAAUGAACCAUAUGUUUUUGGAGCGUACAUUUCUGAGCUCACUAUGGAAGAUACUACUUCACUUGAUAUCUAUAAAUCAACCUCUAAGUAAUACUUAGAUUGCAACGCAAUAAUGGACCAUCCAGAAGAUUAAGGAGAGAAGUCAUGAGGCUCAUGUGUUGAAAUUAGUGUACAUAAAAUCAAUACAUACAAUCCGAAAGGAGAUGAAUACAAGAGUUUUUAAGGAGAAUAAGUCCACAAUGGAGGAUCUAACACGAAGAGUUUCUUGUGUUAGAGCUAUUGUCCCAACUAGGCUAUUAUAAGAUAGAUGUAACUUUUAGUUUUCUGAGUUCAUUAAGCAAGUAAUUGUUGGUCUCUGAGAGAAGUUAUUUUAGUAGUUCUAGCUUAGUUUGUAAAUAUCCAUUUUGGUGAUUAAUAAAAUUAUUAAUUACCAAAAAAAAGAAGAGAUUUUUUACUUAUUAAGUAAUGACAUGGAUAUUGGUAGAUCAAACUAUUAGUUGCAGGUGUAUUUUGGGACCAAACAAUAAGGAUAAUUUUAGAGAUAAGUGUUAAAAACACACCUAAGCUAUCCCUUUUUUUUUAGUUUCAUACCUAAACUAUUGAGAGUUUGAGUUUCAUACCUAAACUAUCACUUAUUAGUUUAAGAAACACACUUUAGUGGCAUGUGUAAUACUUUUUCACAUGGCAUUCCACAUGAAUAAAAAUAUUUCACCUGUGACAAAAAUUAAAUAAUAAACUAUUAAUAUUAAUUAAAUUCACCCUCUCCCCCCUCCCCCCCCAAACCACCCACUCAUUCCCCAAAAAAAUUGAUAUUAUUUUAUUUUAAAAUAAAAAAAUUCUACCCCAUCCUAUUUAUCCCUCUGCUCCUAGUUUAUUUUUUUUUACGUUUUUCUUGUUUUGUGUUGGAUAUGUACUUAUAUUUUUCAUUUUUUUCAACUUGUGUAUUUAAUAUAACAUAAAUAAAAAUUUUAUUUUUAAAAAAGUCUUCCGGCGGCAAGUAAAACAUAAUUCCCUAAAAAGAUAUGUAUAUAUAUAUAUAUAUAACACAAAACGAGAAAAAAAAAUGGAAACUGAGGAUUAGGUGGAGUGGGGUAGAAUUAUUAUUAUUAUUUUAAAUAAUAAUAUCUAAAUUAUUAUUUGGAGNNNNNNNNNNNNNNNNNNNNNNNNNNNNNNNNNNNNNNNNNNNNNNNNNNNNNNNNNNNNNNNNNNNNNNNNNNNNNNNNNNNNNNNNNNNNNNNNNNNNNNNNNNNNNNNNNNNNNNNNNNNNNNNNNNNNNNNNNNNNNNNNNNNNNNNNNNNNNNNNNNNNNNNNNNNNNNNNNNNNNNNNNNNNNNNNNNNNNNNNNNNNNNNNNNNNNNNNNNNNNNNNNNNNNNNNNNNNNNNNNNNNNNNNNNNNNNNNNNNNNNNNNNNNNNNNNNNNNNNNNNNNNNNNNNNNNNNNNNNNNNNNNNNNNNNNNNNNNNNNNNNNNNNNNNNNNNNNNNNNNNGGGGGUGGGGGGGGGGGGGGGGAGAUGAAGUAAAAAAUUAUUAAAUACUUUUCUAAAAGAAAUCUAAGCAAAAUAAAGGUAAAAAAUGUGGGGGGAGGGGGUACUAUGAGAGGAAGUGAUGGAGUGGGGUAAGGAAAAUAUUUUACAUUUUAUUUUAUAAAAAAAAAUAUUUUUUAUUUUUUAUAAGAUAAUAAUUCUUUAAUCUUUAAAUUUAACUAAUACUAAUAAUUUAUUUAUUUUUUGUCUAUGUGGAGUGCAAUGUGAUAAUUUUUUUUUAAAUAAAAGAGAGAGUAUAGUACACACAACAUAAAGAAAGUGUAUUAAGAGAGAGAUGUGAGUUUCUCAAACUAAUAAACAUUAAUUUAGGUAUGAAACUUAUUAUCUCAAUAGUUUAGAUAUGAAACUAAAAAAAAAAAGAAUAGUUUAAAUGUGUUUUUGACACUUUAUCUCAUAAUUUUAUACCAAACUAUUAACCAAAUAUAUUUUUAUUCAAUUUCACAAAAUUUAAUCACAUUUUGAUUUUUCUUUUAUAAAAAAAUGCAAGACAAGGGACUAAAAUGUACUAAUUGGAGAUAAGUAAUUGUAUAUACAUUACAUACUAGUGCUUUGCGGCCCUUAUCGUCUUGUUUGUGGAGGAGGGGAGUGAGUGGGUAUGGAGCUUCAGUUUGCAGGCGCAUCGUAUUUGAUGAAAGAAGGUAUAAAACCCCGAGGUUUGAUUAUCAAAUCAUCAAGUAGUACUUCACAAGGGCUGCAGAAAUGUUCAAAGAAAAACCUUUCUCGUAUACUUAGAACAGAAGCCGCCAUUAGAGGUAUCCAGAGGAAAGCCAACUCAGAAAAAUACACUAAUCUUUGGCCCAAGGCCGUUUUGGAGGCUCUCGAUGAUGCUAUUAGGGACAAUCGCUGGGACUCUGCUCUUAAGGUUCCAUUCCUUCAUCCAUCUCGGGUUUUACAAUACGAAGAAGCUUGAAACAACAAUUUACUCCGAUUGAAUAAACUGUUUCAUAUUGUUUUUUCAUUCUUCUCAUGAAUUCUAGGACUACCGCACUAUUAUAGAGCUUAAACACUCAUUCAUUUCUCAUGAUUUAAGUUUCCUUGUGUCUCCAGUAUUUUAUAUUCUGAUUCAUGUCAGAAAAUUUCAAGUAGUGGUCUUACCCUAUUGCUCUUUUAACAACAGGAAUGCUCAACGUGACUGGGCAAUUGUCUGAUGAAGCAUUCUACUGUUUCAACAACAUGAACAUACAGAAAUUAAUAAUAUAGCAAAUAUUAUAAGAUUCAGAUACAGAUGCAGUGCAAUUUAUUCUUUCUCAAUUCAUAGUAAUACAUAACUAAUCUUGCCUGUGUAUCCCUAAUUUUCAUUCAGAUCCGAUGAUUUAGAUUGGCCAUAAAAUUCCUUCUCUGUUGCUUCCUUGUAUCAACUCGUAGGUUUCUGUCAAAAUUCGUGUUCUUAUAUCUUGGACAUAGCCUCAAUCUUCAUGGCAGUCGCAAUGCAUUCAUAUCACUGUUGUUAAUUUAUCUGCACCUGUGCAGCAAAGGCUAUAGCCUAAAAUAUUAUUGUCAGAUACAGUUUUCUUUGUUACAAAAUCAGCUAAGUUUCACUUUCAAAUAGUACAAUUGGUCAUCUUUCUUUGUGCCUUUUAGUGAAUUGAUUCCUUUUAGUUAAUUGGUAUAAAUUUUUAAGACUGUCUUGAAAAACUUCUCUUCAAGCCCCUUCAUUGCAAGCCUUUCAUUAUUCUUCUGCUUAUACUCUUAAUCACAUGCUCCACUAGAAUGGAGUGGAGGCUAGAAAAAUGGGUGAACUAUUGUGUGUUUAAGGUUUAAUAUUUUAAUUCUAAACAUGAAGUCGUAAUUAGUAUUUCUUUCCUUUGGGUUGCAUUGUUUUCAUUUAUGAAUCUUCCGUUGCAUACACGUGUUAAAGUUUAUGACCCCAAUAGUAUGGACCAAGGCUUAGUUGAUUUGACUCACCCAGAAGCUUAUGUAGUUGUUGCUGUGUUCCAAAUAAAACUGUAGAUAAAACUCGUAUUUGUUGUUUUAACAAUUUUUCUGACAGAAAUGUGUUCUUACUCCUAGAUUUUCGACCUUCUUCGCAAGCAACAUUGGUAUGAGCCAAGAUGCCAUACAUAUGCUAAGCUUUUGGUAAUGCUCGGCAAGUGCAAGCAGCCAAGUAAAGCUAACUUGCUUUUUGAGAUUAUGCUAGUGGAUGGGCUUCAACCAACAGUAGAUGUUUAUACUGCACUUGUAAAUGCAUAUGGUCUUAGUGGCCUCCUUGAUGAGGCGCUGCGAACUAUUGAUGAUAUGAAAUCAGUUAGUAAUUGCAAGCCUGAUGUGUAUACUUACUCGAUCCUAAUUAAAUGCUGCACUAAAGUUCGUCGUUUUGAUAUGAUUGAAUACAUUUUGGCUGAGAUGGUGUAUUUGGGAAUUGAAUGUAGUUCCGUGACAUACAAUACCAUAAUUGAUGGCUAUGGUAAAGCUAAGCUGUUUGAGCAGAUGGAAAGCUCCUUGACCGAUAUGAUAGAAAAUGAGACUGCCUUUCCAGAUGUUUUCACCUUGAAUUCAGUAAUUGGGUCCUAUGGCAGCUGUGGGAAGCUUGAGAAAAUGGAGAAGUGGUUUGAAGAAUUUCAGGUAAUGGGAAUAAAGCCAGAUGUUAUGACAUUUAACAUUCUUAUCAAGUCAUAUGGAAGAGCUGGCAUGUACCAGAAAAUGGAGUCUGUACUUGAUUUUAUUAGGAAUCGGUUCUAUUCUCCAACAGUUGUGACUUACAAUAUCAUCAUUGAGACAUUGGGGAAAGCUUGCCUCAUUAAGAACAUGGAACAGUUUUUCCUACAGAUGAAGCAUGAAGGGGUGAAGCCAAGUUCAUUCACUUAUUGCUCUCUUGUAAGUGCUUAUAGUAGAGCUGGACUUAUGGAAAAUGUUGAUUCAAUCAUGAGGCAAGUUGAGAAUUCAGAUGUAGUUCUAGAUACUCCUUUUUUCAAUUGCAUCAUCAGUGCUUAUGGUCAAGCUGGUGAUAUAGAGAGGAUGGUGGCAUUAUUCUUGGAAAUGAAGGUCAGAAAAUGUAAACCAGACUACAUCACAUUUUCUACCAUGAUUCAGGCGUACAAUUCACAAGGGAUGACUGAAGCUGCAAUGGACUUGAAGACAAAAAUAAUUACUUCUUGUGGUACUUGUACUAUUUAGCCUCUGUUUCUCCUGUCCAUAUCAUUUUUGCUUCAUAAAGUAUGAAUCCUCUCAGAAAUACAACUUUAACUUUAUCAAAAAAAAAAGUAUGAAUCCUCUCAGACUCACAGUUAGUAACAUAAAUCCAGCUAUUUAGGUUAGCUCUAUCAUAUUUCUAGCUAAGUGCAGUUGAUAAUAAAAGGAAGUGUUAUUCUCUAAUAAAUCAGCUUUUAUUUUUUGCUGUCAUGUGUACUAAGUUACUCCCUCUGUCCCAAUUUAUGUGACUUACUUUCCUUUUUAGUCAGUCCCAAAAAGAAUGACACAUUUCUAUAUAAAGUAACAAUUUAACUAUAAAAUGUCAAUUUUACCCUUAAUGAAAAUGAUUUACAGCCACACAAAUUUCUAUAAUUCAUUUUGGACUACAAGUUUUAAAAGUCUUCCUUUCUUUCUUAAACUCCGUACCGAGUCAAACUACCUCACAUAAAAUGGGACGGAGGGAGUAUCAUUCAAUGAACUGCUUGAUAUCUGACACUUUGUUGUUACAUUUUAUUAGAAUCAAACGAAUUGAUCAGCAGCUAGUACAAUCUAUCUGCUACCGAAGGAAACCAUUCACUUGGAACUCUGUUCAUCAAUCUCAAUGUUGUGAAAGUGGGCAGAGUGUUAUCUGCAUGUGAGUUUGUAAGUGUGAAUGUCUAUUUUCUCUUGUUCACUGCCUUUGAGAAUCCAUCUUUACUCAUUAAAUGGCCUAAAACUGAAAGGCUUUCAAGCAGUCAAAGUGGUGAGCCAAAGUUGAAGGGCUUUUAUGAACUCAAACAUCUUGCUUUUGGUUUGUAAGACUGAAGAGUUAAACUUAUUUCAAAAUGCAAAUUAAGUUCCUCUCUUUUUGUUUUUUGGAUGUGAAAUAUUGUUGCUCUUGCUAAUUCUCUCUCUAUAUAUAUACAUAUCUAUUUAGUUACUUAAUGAGAAAUGUCAUAUAUAUUUGAGUUUGGGUACUUCAUCGUAACAAUGAUAUCUGUUUGUGUAGAAGGAUGCUAUAGCAAUCCGUUAAUCAGAUGGGAUGGAUCCAAGGAAAAGAACAUAGUGAGUCUAUUUGCGGCAAUGUGAUUUCUCUUACAUGUUUCUGUGAACUUUCGACGGCCUUAACCCACAACUAGAGAGAUUUGCAGUUUCCAAAAGCUCUUGUUAGGGAAUAGUUUGGUUUAACUUCUCUGAGUAGCUUUACAGUUUGUUUGCCUAUGUAUGUUAUUUCUUGACUCGUUUUUUCUUGUAUUAGCAUAUUUAUAUACAGGUAAGAGAGGGAGGGAGCAGUUAAAGUUCUUCUGUUUACUAUGUUCACGAAACAGCCAAACCGUGCUGUGAUGUCUGUAGUGCAACCUGUGGGUUCAUCUUCAGUUGAAAACCUCAGUGAUGCUUGGGUGAAUGAAGAUUCUAACAGUAGUGGGUGAUUAUGAUGGAUAAUUAACUCCUCGGUAACAUUGAGGAUCUACACUAUUUCAGCUGUCACUGUGGGGUUGUCUAUUGCAGUACUAAUAGUCAUGCAGCAAGGCCUUUUUUUUUUUUUAACUAACCAGAGCUGAGUCACAACCAUACAUAUGGGUUUUGAACAGGUCAGUGAUGUAACAGGACUGACUUCUUUCGAAAGAGCAAAGCCAUGGGACAGAUGGAGCAUUAUUAAGACACUUGCUGAUUCUUCCUUCUAAAUCGGGUUGUUUUACCUCUUACUGGUUGCAAGUUUUUAGUAAACAGAUAUAUAGAGCAAUGUAGUGUAAGAUAGUUAUACCAUUUUCCAGCCCCUCGCCAUUUCACAUGUUACUGUGGAAAUGAAUUACAAUAUUAUGUUUGAUAUACUACUUGAGCAGCAGGUGAACAUUACUUAUUUACUUUGCUUUCUUAAAAGUGGAUUAAAAUGUCCAGACACCGUUUGACUUUCUGUAGAGCUGCAAGCACCGAACGACCUGUAGAUGGACCUUAUUGCAACACAUACGUACAACCACUCCAAUUUGUAUAGAGUUCUUCUCCUAAAAGCUUUCAACAGUGUCCUUCAAACUGAUCUCUAGAAGAGUGAAAUUUAUGCCUAAGCUUUUUUCCCCUUCCUAAGACCGGGAAGGUGGCACCAUAGGCAGCUCCUCCUUAUACCUACAUCCCACAUUCAAGAAUUUGAGAUGCCAAAAUUCUCAAGAUAGUAGAUAACCUGAACGAGUUAAUUAAGCUAUAAUGAAUGGAAAUGCAGAGUCAAUUUCUUAUGUAAUUUGAAGACUUCAAUUUCUAUGUUAUCAAUAUCUUUCAUGUUUAUUUACUUUAGAUUCACCAAAUUACACAUUUGUUACUUCUUGUUGUGAGGCUAUAUUUGAAUUGUAUGUAGAGUUAGUGAGUUAUAAGAAAAAAAAAUUGUUUUAUGCACACCAAGAUAAAAAUUGUUAUAGUAUAGUGGAUAUUACAUGUUAAAUAACUCUUAACAUAUCAACAACUUACUUUCCAGGGAUGCUGAGUUUGUUUUUCUUUCACAAAUUGGGUCUUGUGCUUUUUCUAUAGGGAGAUUUUCAUAUAUGGCAAAGAGAAAAAACAUAAUUGGCCUAUAUAGCUAUGGUAUACCUAAUUACGCUCCAUAACUAUUGUUUCAUUUGCUAUGGUGACUAAUGUUUGUAUAUCUCGAACUUUUUAUUAAAAAUUAUACAAAUUCCUUUUUAAAAUAGAUAAUAAAAAAGCGGCAAUUUUGGUUACAAAAAAUUGAAAACAAUCCCAUAAAGUAAGGUAAUUUAUAAUUGUAUUUGAUUAUAGUUUAUUGUCUAAAAUGACUUCUUCGACACGAAGAACACCAUAGUUGUAUAUGUAAUUGAAAACUGUUUUUCAUUCAUAUAUAGAUUAAUUAAAUGUAUUUGUAUACAAAUAUGUAUUAUUAUUGAGUGGAUGAAUAGUAUAUGUAUCUGAUAUAUGUAUAUGUAAAUAAAUCAUUAUUUGUAUAACACUGUACGUGUGGGGCAUUCUUGAAAUGCUUCUUUGAGUAGAAACCUAACAUCCUAAAAUAUUAUGUCCAAAAAUAAGUUCGUAUAAACAUAUUAUAUACAAUUAUUUGUAUAUGUAUAUAAAUCAUUAAAAUGGAUAAAUAAACAGUUGUAUAUAAAUGUUGAAAAUUAUACAUUGGAUUCGUAUAAGGUAUUGUGGGUGAUAAUAUACAUGAAAAUGAAAUAUUUAAAACAAAAAAGAAUAUAGAACCAAUUGUCACGACCCAGACCGUCGUGAUUGGCACCCACACUAAACCUCCGAUGGGAGAACCAUUACUACAACCCAAACAAACAAAUUUUAUGAAAAUUAAGGCAUUUAAAGAUACAGAAGCAGGUUUAAAUGACUAUAAAAAUACGGAGUUCCCAGAAACUCCAAAGGUUUAAACAAUUAACUAACCAAACUAAUGCGGAGGAACAACCCCUAGAACCUGAAAGUCAAUGUACCAAAACUAUACUAACAACAAGUCUAAGAACAGGGGUACAACCCCGAAACUAAACAACACCUUAAACAAAUGGUCUGAGUCCGAAAAGAGUAGACUUAAACAAGAAGAUCCAUGGCAGCCCAAAAGAACUGGCUCACCCUUGAAUCCUGUCAUGCUCAAUAGUCACCUAGCUAAGGUCUAUCAAUAGCCACCUAAAGAUGCCCUGUACUCAACAAAGAUAAGAGCAAGUGCAGUAUCAGUACACAACCACAGUGUACUGUUAGGAUCACGCGGCUAUCUCAAUAAGUGAAACACAUGCAAGUACCCACAACAUUAUAAACAAGCAUAUACUGAACAUAUAUAAUAUUUGUCAUCUUUUCAGGAUCAAUGUAGCACCCCCACAUUCUCAAUAAUACACAUUGGUCAUCAAUUUAGAGCAACAUACGGUCUUCCAAUAUCAAUCAUCAUUAGAUAUGAACGUAAUCAUCACAAGUAGAUAUACAACACAAUUCAAUAGUCCUCUCACGAAAUCCAAUUCAACGGUCCUCUCAUGGAACCCACACCCAAAUUGUUAGCAUACCGGAACGUGGUACCUGAUCCAAUGUUUAUGCCGGAACGUGGAAACUAAUCCUAUAUUUAUGCCGGAAAGUGGCAACCGAUCCCAUAUUAUGUCGGAACGUGGCAACCGAUCCCAGUUAAUGUGUCGGAUCGUGACACCCGCCCAUUCAACAAACCACGAUCACAAUCACAAUGUAUAUUCUCACAAUCAUAAAACAAGAGAUGAUUCAUGACAUACAAUUAUUCAAUUAUCCUCAUUUACGAUUAGGGUGAUCAAUAAUGCAACAUUCGCAUACAUACAUGCAUUAUAAUGGAGCAAUUACAAACAUAUAUCACACCAACAUGAAAUCACAACCAUCACCUACCUCGAAUCCAAGCUUGAAUUCCCUAAGGUACUUGAAUCUUCCCUUUCCAGAUUCUUCCCGCUUGUUCGUGGUCUAAAAACAAGCAAUUUAUAUGCAAGGAUCAACAAUCAAAGGUCUAAUUAUCCGAAUUAUAACAAACUCAAUAACCCUAGACCAGAUUCUUCCCGCUUGUUCAUGGUCUAAAAACAACAAUUUAUAUGCAAGGAUCAACAAUCAAAGGUCUAAUUAUCCGAAUUAUAACAAACUCAAUAACCCUAGACCAAAUCCUUGAUCCUAUACCCAUAUUAGGGCUUUUUCCACAAUAAAUUCAAGAUCAAAACCCUCCCCCAUCCAUAAUUACCCAUGAAACUGAGUUCUACAGAUCGAAAAAUAAUUUCGGGGAGUGAAAACAUUACCUUAGCCUCAAGAAUGGUGAAAAAUUGUCAAGAACUCAUCUGGGGUUGUUCCUUAGCUCUAAAAAUCGAAAAGUGCAGAAUAAAGUCAUUUUGGGGUUUGUUUACAACUUUAAGUCGCGUCUGGCCCGCCACAACAACCCUCACCCCGCUACAGCGGUACCGCCAGAGCGACCAAAACCUCCGCCAAAGCGGCUUGCACGAAACAGUGAGCUAUUUUAAUAAUUCCAAGACCCUCAUUUCACAACACACCUUUAACCAACGACGCUCAGAAAAUACCGUUCACGCUAAAAUCAAUUCCGGGAGUUCUACUUACCCGAAUUCCAUUUCGUAAAGUCGUACGGAUUCCUUAACGACUUAUCUAACUACUAAUGUAAUCAAAAUCAUAAAUAAAUCACCUGAUUGUUACCAGAUUUCCCUACACCUUAAUGACUCUAAUUUCGUCCAAAUCUGGACUAGGUUGGGAAAUUCCAAGUUACUACGAAAAAGUUUUCUUGCCCCAAUUCUUUCCCCAUUGGCUUUUCUAUAAUAACGGGAACAUGUCGUUACAAUAGAUACCAAUUUACCCAUCACCUGUCCCUGAGUGACAAACUAGGAGAAAAAGGGAUAAAGCAAGAAUAGAGUAGUAUCUCAAUCGUCGAAUAACUAGGGAUACUUGUCCCACAUACUUUUUAUGUUUAUUGUGGGCUGCUAGAAGCUUAGAUUGGAUACUUUUCACCUUACCCUGAACAUCUUUCACCAAAUCAACUCUCAAAGGUUUUGCAUCUUCAACCUCAAACCAACCAAUUGAACACCUACACAUCCUCCCAUACAAUGCCUCAAUGAAGUCAUCACAAUAAUCGAGUGAUAAUUAUUGUUGUAUGUACACUUAACUAACAACAAAGUUAUUCCCAACAACCACCAAAGUUGAUCGUACACAUGUCUGCAACAUGUUAUCAUGGACUUUGACACAAACAACAGGACGAGUCCUUUCUCACAUAACCAUGAUAAAAUCCUAAAUCAAAACUCGUCACAAUUAGAGGUGAACCUGAACCAACCAACACACAAUCAUAAUACCCAAACAAUCAUAGUUCUUAUCAACAUCUCCAUCUCACAACCCAAUUUCCCAUGAGUUUAAGCUAUAAAAAUUUUGGUCCUUAGAAAUCAGAUACUCAUCGAGGGAUAUGUCCAAGCAUACAAACCCUUCAACAACACUAUCAAAAAUGCUAGAUUUAGAAAUUGUAGAUCACCUCUUAAGAACAGUAGAAUUGGACCCAAUGAUCCCCACAUUCAAUCACACACAAUCAAUACAUGACCUCAACGACUAGAUGAAUAUUUAGAUUAUCGAACAAUCAUAAAUACACAUGGUAGCUCUUCUAUAAACUCUCAUAAGUAAGGUGGUACAUGUAAAACCACUGAAAUACUUUACAACUCCAAGACAACACCACAUAAGUCAUCUGAAAUAACCACGUCUUCCCAACUAAUCCCACUCAACCAAGAGAACAUCGCAGGAUCGGUACAUAUGAUCCACCACUAGAGAUCCACCCACAAAAUGAAAACACACGUAAGCAUAGCUAGUGUGUCACACUCACAAUCAUGUACAAAAUGAAAUAGAUGGUCACAUAAGAAUUUAUCAAAUAACACGAAAGGUUUUCCUCUGAAGAGUCGAUACCAGACAUUUCCAUUCACUUGACUCCACAUACUCUUCACAUCAUUCCACUGAAGUCCACACUCUCAAUACUAACAACCAUCAUGAACACUCCGACCAUUUACCUUACUCUAAACCAACACUUUUAAAAUGAAAACCUUCCUUAGAUACUUUAACAAUCAAAAGUAAUAAACUUUACGACUCAAACCAAGUGUAAGUCUUUUCAAAUGCUCAAUACCUGAUACAAGUGAUCAUUCCUCACCUUGCAAAUUUAUACCUUGACAAAAUAUAUCACCACAAAUGUAGACUUACAAUGAAAAAUCUGAAUUGUAAUUUCCACCGUAUAACACAAUCCCUUUCUCUAUCAACAUUAUCUUGUACCUUGAAGAUUCUUAUGAAUUCAUAGAUCUUCGCUUAUCAUUGAUCGCAUCUCCAUCGAUCUUACAAUAUCCUUCACUAAGAUUCAAUUGUACUCAUUACUAAACUCAAAACAAAAAGAAAGCACUUAUCAUCACGCUCAAGCUAAUGUCUGCACAAUCAUUUCUCAAGUCCUUUGCAAUAGCUUUUAACCAAAUUUGACGGACUUCUGACUCUAUUACCAUAGCCACAACAAAAUGAAUGAAAUCACGCGUCUCUGAACCCAAUUAUCUACCCCUCUGAAGAUAUCUCUUUAGCCUUUGCAAUCAAAUAAAAUAUUCUUGCUCUCGCCUCUCUCUAAAGGUUGUACUACAUCCCACUAUUUUUCUUCAUUAUGACUCUAGCUCUUUAAUUUCUAUUUGAAUGGUGUCCCACCAUCUCUUAAAACUUUCCAUACAACCACGUUACUCACCAAAUAUUAAAAACCACAACCUUAGAUACUCGCAAGUUGUAAUUACGGUGCAAAAUUUGCUCUAACCACAAUCGUAUUAUAUAGUUGCAUCCCAGCACAAACUCUUAUUAGCAUUAUGCUUAGUCAGCUCUGACUAUCACUACAAAGUUGACCUUACAUCAACACGACACCUCAAACUCAGGUAUACUCAUCAAUUCAAAGGACUAACCCAAUUUUGAUACUCACUUUCCUACUAAAAUCUUAGAUUUUCUUUAUCCAAGUAUAUUCAAUGGGACUUUCUUUAUUCAUAAGCUUGUCAUUUCGGUAUUAAUCAACUCCCUUAUGGAUUAAGAUAAAAUCAUUAGUCCUCAUACUACCCUCCUUCUUCUUAAUAAACAAGACAGGAGCACCCCACGGGGAAGCACUAGGACGGAGGAAACCUUUAUCAAGAAGCCCUUGGAUUUGAGCUUUAAGCUCUCUCAAUUCUGACACCACAGGAAUAGACUCAAUAGAGGGAAACUCGACCUCAACAUCCCAAAUAUGAGCCAAAUAAGCCAAACAACCCUGCCCUACCAGUUUCCUAGCCCAAAUGGAGGAUAUGAUAUUAGCUAGCUUAGGCUUGUACACCCCUUCCCACUCUAAUCCUUCCCGUACCGAGGAUCUCUAGAGUUACCGACUUAGUAUUACAAUUAAGCUCGGUAUAAUAGGGGGACAACCAAGUCAUGCCUAAGAUUAUAUCAAGUCAGUCAUAUCCAGCAUAACCAAAUCAACCCAAAUCUGAAAAUCCGAAAACACAAUAGGACAACACGAUAUACAUGGGUGACUAUGACUGACUCUUCAACUAGGGUCGAAACAUGGAUGGGGGCAUCAAGUAUAUCACAAAUCAUAUCAAAUUUUGAGGCAAAUCGCACAGACACAUAAAAUAAGUAGAAUUUGGAUCAAACAACACAUUUGCCAUCCAAUCACAAACAAUAAUAGUACUUGUGAUCACUACAUCACACCUCAAACUCGAUUUUGCCCAGAAAAGCAUAUAACUGAACCCUGUCAUCUUGACGGGCAACCUCCCGCCUGGCUGCACUACUCCUCUAACUGCAUUACCAUUUCCCCGGCCUCCACGAUCUUGUUGAUUUCCUCCUCGUAUGCCUAGGUUCUCCAUAAUUUUAACACACUUUUUAACUUAUAUUUGAUUGUUGAACACUGAAUUAGAUUGCGGGGGUGAGUUCGGGUAUGAUUCGGGGUCCAUGAUUGUGACUAGAGGAAAACAGGGGAGACAUGGCUGAGAUUCUGUCUCGCCCUGUCCCGCACUAGCGGCCUCGCCUUGGCGGGAAAAGUUUCGCCCCAGCGGCCAAAAUGGAAACAGAACCCAGGCCAACUAAUUUUUUAGGGUUUCUUUUUCUCAUUUCUAAUUUUCCCAAAGGUUCCCAGCUCUGCCAAACGAAUUUAGGAUAAUUAUAUGAGCUAAGAGAAAUCAUGUCUAUCCCAAGUAAAUCCCACGAGACACUAACCAACUCGUUCUCAUUAAUUUAGCACCACGUGCAAGAUACACCCAGACAUUCACACGAUCAUUACACAAGCGUAAGACAAGUCCAAAUUCUUUAAUUAGGUUAUUCCAUAGAUGACUAUUACUGAUCAUCUACACCUUGUACGAUCCCUAAGGCCAGAUACCAAUUGAAACAUUUUCAGUUUCAAUUAACUUGCUUGUGUCCCUUUAGCCGGGACUACGACGUCUAGUUCACUUCGUUAAGAUAACAAUUGAAAUUGGGAGAUACCAAUUGGACUCAACUCAUACCACAAGUGAAAAUAGUAGCUAGCGAGCCCUACAAAACUGCUAAUUUCAAUCAUAGAACUUGGUCGAAACAAAUUCUUAACCGCCUCAACCUUUAAUUGAUAGUAACCAGACCUUAAAUCAAUCUUAUAGAAAAUCGAUGCACCUUACAAUUGGUCAAAAAGGUCAUCUAUCCGAGGCAAUGUAUACUUGUUACUGAAUGGUGACCCUAAUUCAACUGUCGGUAGUCUAUACACAUCCUCUCUUGCUAGUGAUGGUGUUACCGCUGUUGUUGCUCUAGCUCAGACCAUAGAGUGAAGGAGGAAAGAUACCAAUUUGUAUCACCCAGAUACCAAUUGGAUUCAAGUCAUAGCACGAAGGAGUAGAAAGAAGUGAGUUUUUCCUAAAGUUCUAUAGCCUCUCAAAGAAAAGUACGGACGUCAUCGUACCAUUCCGCAAGACUCUACUAGACUCGUUUUGGUACAACGAGAUCAAUGAACCUAGGGCUCUGAUACCAACUUUGUCACGACCCAGACCGUCGUGAUUGACACCCACACUAAACCUCCGGUGGAAGAACCAUUACUACAACCCAAGCUACCAAAUUUUAUGAAAACUAAGACAUUUAAAGAUACGGAAGCAGGUUUAAAUGACUAUAAAAAUACGGAGUUCCCAUAAAUUCCAAAGGUUUAAAAAAUUAACUAACCAAACUAAUGCGGAAGAACAACACCUAGAAUCUGAAAGUCAAUGUACCAAAACUCUACUAACGACAAGUCUAAGAACAGGGGUACAACCCCGAAACUAAACAACACCUUAAACAAAUGGUCUGAGUUCGAAAAGAGUGGACUUAAACAAGAAGAUCCAUGGCAGCCCGAAAGAAUUGGCUCACCCUUGAAUCUGAUCACGCUCAAUAGUCACCUAGUUGAGGUCUAUCAAUAGCCACCUAAAGAUACCGUGUACUCAACAAAGAUAAGAGAAAGUGCAGUAUCAGUACACAACCACAGUGCAUGGGUAGGAUCACGCGGCUAUCCCAAUAAGUGAAACACAUGCAAGUACCCACAACAUUAUAAACAAGCAUAUACCGAACAUAUACAAUAUUAGUCAUCAUUUCAGGAUCAAUGUAGCACCCCACAUUAUCAAUAAUACACAUUGGUCAUCAAUUUAGAGCAACAUACAAUCUUCUAAUAUCAAUCAUUAUUAGAUAUGAACGUAAUCAUCACAAGUAGAUACACAACACAAUUCAAUGGUCCUCUCAUGGAACCCACACCCAAACUGUUAGCAUAUCGGAACGUGGUACCCGAUCCAAUGUUUAUGGCGGAACGUGGCAACCGAUCCCAUAAUUAUGCUGGAACGUGGCAACCGAUCCCAUAUUUAUGUCGAAACGUGGCAACCUAUCCCAGUUAGUGUGUCGGAUUAUGACACCCACCCAUUCAAUAAACCACAAUCACAAUCACAAUGUAUAUUCUCACAAUCAUAUAACAAGAGGUGAUUCAUGGCAUACAUAAAUACAUGCAUUAUAAUGAAGCAAUUAUCACACCAACAUGAAAUCCCAACUAUCACCUACCUCGAAUCCAAGCUUGAAUCCCCUAAGGCACCUGAAUCUUCCCUUUUCGGAUUCUUCCCGCUUGUUCAUGGUCUAAUAACAACAAUUUAUACGCAAGGAUCAACAAUCAAAGGUCUAAUUAUCUGGAUUAUAACAAACUCAAUAACCCUAGACCAAACCCUUUAUCCCCAUAUCCAGAUUAGGGCUUUUUCCACCAUAAAUUCUAUAUCAAAACCCUCCCCCAUCGAUAAUUACCCAAGAAACUGAGUUCUACGGAUCGAAAAAUAGAUUCAGGGAGUGAAAACCUUACCUUAGCCUCAAGAAUGGUGAAAAACGGUCAAGAACUCGUAUGUGGUCGUUCCUUAGAUGUAAAAAUCAAAAAGUGUAGAAUAAAGUUAUUUUGGGGUUUAUUUACGACUUUAAGUCGCGUCUGGCCCGCCACAGCGGCCCUCACCCCGCUAUAGCGGCACAGCCAGAGCGACCAAAACCUCCGCCAAAGUGGCUUGCACGAAACAGUGAGCUAUUUUAAUAAAUCCAAGACCCCCCAUUUCACCACACACCUUUAACCAACGACACUAUGAAAAUACCGUUCACGCUAAGAUCGAUUACGGGAGUUCUACUUACCUGAAUUCCAUUCUGUAAAGUCGUACGAAUUUUUAACGAAUUAUCUAACUACUAAUGUAAUCAAAAUUAUAAAUAAAUCACAUGAUUGUUACCAGAUUUCCCUACACCUUAAUGACUCCGAUUUCAUCCAAAUCUAGACUAGGUUGGGAAAUUCCAAGUUACUACGAAAAAGUUUUCUGGCCCCAAUUCUUUCCCCAUUGGCUUUUCUAUAACGACGGGAACAUGUCGUUACACAAAUUAACAAUAUUGAAAUUUUGUAUAUACACUAAUGUUGACACCCAAUUUUGGACCUCCACAAUAUAUAUUAAUCACCGAGCUUCUCAAAUUCCAAACGAUUUGAAAUAAUUAGUUUUUAUAAAGUUCAAAAUAUUUUUCAAGUUACUUUUAAUUAAUUUUAUCCUUUUUUAUAAAUUUCAAAUAAUAAGCAUGUUUUUAUAUAUAAUUAUGUAUAUAAUUAGUAUAUUUUUGAAUAUUCGAAAAUCAUCUCAGAAGAUUUUUCAUUUUAGUUGAAUAUCUUAUUAAUUUAGUUUAACUUAAAUUAUGGUUAUAAUUUUAAAAUUAACUAUUUUAUAAUCAAAUUAAUUAUUUUAUUUUGUUAAAAUUAAGAAGCUCGUUAGUUAAUUAUACUAAUUCGUCUUAUUUAAUUUUUAGCCGAUUUCACCAAUUAAUUCAAAUUGGCUAAGUUUGCAAUCUAAUUGGUCAUUUGCCUAAUUCAAAUUCAAUCAUCUCUUUGUCCCACUUCUUGGACCCUUUUUAAACCAAGUUUUAGGCCUUACUUCCAAUUUCAACAGCCCAUUCCCAACCAAUUCCAAUUCACCAGUCCACUCUCUUUAUUCCCCGACCCAGGCCCAAUUGUUACAACAAUACUCGGCCCAAUCCCCUUAUCAACAAGAAAACCCAGAAACAGCGUCAAAACAAACAUUAACAACAACAACAAUUCCAAGCGGCGUGAGCGACGUCUAAGCAAUCCCAAUCCACGCGACGUCUCGAUUCCAACAUCAUCAAAACAACAGUGCAAUACACGUCAAAGAAGACGGAAAGAAACGAUGAGGAACGCGUGCCCAGUACGACUGUUGUCGUCUUCCUCCAAUUCGUACGAGUCUUCCAGAAAAAGCAGCUCGUCCUUAUAUGUGAGCAGGCCAGGUGGAGAGAUCUCCUCGCCCUUUCGUCCUUGCCCCUUGAAUCGGACGAAUUUCGUUCAAAAUCCGUUGAAGAAUAGUACAAAUUCCAGCUCCCCAACCUUAUCCUUGGAGAGCAAUUCGAAUUUCAAAUUCAAAAUCCCUCCCGAUUUCCCCUCUAAAUUCGACCUAGUUAUUUCCUUAUAAAUACUCUCUUGUUCUUCAUUGUUAAGUUGGGGAAAAAAGUUGGAAAAAUUGUUGGCAAGAAACAAAGGGGAAAAUAUAGGAAAAUAUAGAUUAGAGACAGGAGAGAAUCAGUUAUUAUUAGAAACAAAAAGGAAAAAGUAGACACAGUAAAGUUGAUGGCUAUAUAGUUAUUUACAAGUAUUUAGGAAUAGGGCUCGAAAUCAUAGAGGUUGAGAAUUCAGUCUUAGCUUAGUCUUUGUUGUUGUUCGCCUCGACUUUGUUCGUCGAAACUGGCAUCGUGGUGGUGGAAGUCAGCUCAACUCAUGGUCUCAGUCGCUACCCCUAAAAAGGUAAACUUUCAUCUUCUCCAAAGCUUUUGUUGCCUUUUAUGAGUCGAUUUAGACGUUAAGCUUGGUGGAAUUUUCGGUUCAUUCAUUUUGUUAUUCUCUCUGUUUGUUUACUUCUUUUGUUACAUUAAGUUGUUAAUAGUAUGCUGUUUCUCUAUCGUUAAUGUUUGAAUUUCAGGCCAUGGAUGAUGUCUCUCUGUUCGUUUAUCUUGCUAUUUUCGGAUGCGGUUACUUCUUUAUGUUGUUUCCAAAUUCUAGUGCUAUAACUAGUCUCAAAAAAUGUUCACUUGUCUUAAUUCAUCUCUAUCUGUUGUGAAUCUAUAUUAAUAGUCGAUGUUUGACAUGGUAUCACUUUCUCUUUGAUUUGAGUUAAAUGUAUAAAUUAGCAUAAAUAGUCGUUUGAGCUUACUUUUGUGUUUCCAUUAUUCCUCAUUUUAAAUGUGUUUACUGAACAAGCAUGAGCCUACUAAUUAUCAGGAGAUUUGUUCUUUUCAGUCUUCAAAAUGGAUUGUUAUCUGUUAGCUCUGUCUCAUUAUUGUGCCUGUUUGAUGUUAAGUUGGGGUUCUGUAGCGAAAGCAAUAAGUCAAAAAUGAUUUGGCUUAGUUUGUUAUAUUUGGAGUUCAAAUGGUCAUGCACUGCCUCUUCCUGAUUUAGUCCCAUAAAAUUCGAUUUCUUGUUAAGUCACCAGGGUAUAACUCAUGCUUAGAUAGUCGGAUUCAGAACAAUAGAUUGUUCCAUGAUUGUUUUUGUUGUUACUGCUAAAGGGUGUUUACUUUCACUAUUUAUCUCCUCUUUCAAGUUUGUUGGGUUUAGUUACAUAGUCUCAAAGGUCAGCUUGUGAUCCUCCUCUCCCUAGUCUGUCGAGCAUGCCUUAAUCUGUCUAGAUGUUUGCCAGAGUCGUUCAUUUAUGCCUAAAUCAGCAGGUUGCCUUCUUAGUUCAAAUACAUGCUUGUGUGUAGAUAAUGUGGUAGGGCGUAAUAUGAUAUCUUAUUAUAUUUUGUUACUGCCUCUUCAUUGAUUGCCAGAAAUGCAAGUGUUUGGCUCUUUAAAAUUAAUUAGUUCAAAAUUGUUGUAGCGACCCUAAAAAAAUUGAUAGGUGAAACUAGAGCCUAACGUAUGAAUCUUAAAAGUUUAAGCAUAAAUUGGAGUUAUGAAAUUUUCAAAUUUUUUUUGACUAACUAUAAGUUCAAGAGAGGGUUCAAGGAAGGCAAAAGGCAUCACUGCCCUUCGAAGCUCCCUUGAACUUCGCCUUAGCCGGAUGGUAGACCAUUCCAAUGCCCUUAGAAGCUCCCUUGGUAAUUGCCUUAGUUUUAUUUGGGCAAUCCAAGGGAGGCAUAAAAGGGGGUAAUUUCGUAAUUUCCUUACUUCAAGGACCUUAAAUGCUCCCUUGGACUUUGCCUUCGUUUUAUUUGGUAAGUCCAUGUGGGCAAGGGGAAUUUUCAUAAAUAUUAUUUUUAAGUGUUUUUAAGUAUUUUAAGAGUAUUAAAACAUUAAUAUGGUAUUUUAGAAUUCAAAACUCUUCUCUCCUAAAAGGUUCUCUCUAGAACUCCAUUGAAGGGCUAGGUCAAGCUCAAGCUAGGGUUGAAGGUUUCAAGUGUUUUCUUCUCAAAAAUUCGUGGGAUUCAUGAAGGGUAAGGUAUGGGGAUCCUUUAUCCUUGAUUAUUCUUCCUUUCAAGGAGCUCAAUCCAAAUGAUUUCAAAGUUCUUCCAAAAACACAAAAAAAAAUAAUUUCGAUUCUAAACAUGGGUUCUUGCAUUAACUGAUUUUUAAUGAUGAUUUAUGCUAUUAUUGAUGUUUAUUGAUGGUUUUAAGGAAGAAAAUUCCACGAACCCAUGUCUUUCCAAGUUUCCUAAAUUUCACCAUAAAGUGGGUAUAUUGAUUUUGAUUCGAUGAUAAUAAAAUUAUGUUUAGAUUGUUGUGGGCUGUUGAUUUAUGCCAUUAACUAUAUCUAAUUGUGUGGAAUUGUUAGUGAAUUGAGUAAUUGGGUUCAUAGCCUUGAAUGGGCAUUUUGUGAAUUAAUCUUCAUGAUGAUUAUUGAAUUGUUUUAUUGGUUUCUAUUGUUAUAUACACCUAUCUUAUGGUGAAUUGUGGUAGAAUUUAGUAAAGGUGAUUAUGGCUUUGGAGAAUGGUAAGUUGACCUAACUUCAUUGUUAAUGUAAAGUUGAUUUAGGAUUGUGAUAGAUUGAUGUGUGAUCCACUUAUGGUGGAGGUGCUUAUAUGUUGAAUGUAUUGUGAUUAUGGCCUUGAAGGCAUUGUAUGAGGAAGUUGAAGUGUUGACAUGAUAUCAUAUAUGUGAAUGUGAUGUGAAGGACUUGAAUGAGAAUCNNNNNNNNNNNNNNNNNNNNNNNNNNNNNNNNNNNNNNNNNNNNNNNNNNNNNNNNNNNNNNNNNNNNNNNNNNNNNNNNNNNNNNNNNNNNNNNNNNNNNNNNNNNNNNNNNNNNNNNNNNNNNNNNNNNNNNNNNNNNNNNNNNNNNNNNNNNNNNNNNNNNNNNNNNNNNNNNNNNNNNNNNNNNNNNNNNNNNNNNNNNNNNNNNNNNNNNNNNNNNNNNNNNNNNNNNNNNNNNNNNNNNNNNNNNNNNNNNNNNNNNNNNNNNNNNNNNNNNNNNNNNNNNNNNNNNNNNNNNNNNNNNNNNNNNNNNNNNNNNNNNNNNNNNNNNNNNNNNNNNNNNNNNNNNNNNNNNNNNNNNNNNNNNNNNNNNNNNNNNNNNNNNNNNNNNNNNNNNNNNNNNNNNNNNNNNNNNNNNNNNNNNNNNNNNNNNNNNNNNNNNNNNNNNNNNNNNNNNNNNNNNNNNNNNNNNNNNNNNNNNNNNNNNNNNNNNNNNNNNNNNNNNNNNNNNNNNNNNNNNNNNNNNNNNNNNNNNNNNNNNNNNNNNNNNNNNNNNNNNNNNNNNNNNNNNNNNNNNNNNNNNNNNNNNNNNNNNNNNNNNNNNNNNNNNNNNNNNNNNNNNNNNNNNNNNNNNNNNNNNNNNNNNNNNNNNNNNNNNNNNNNNNNNNNNNNNNNNNNNNNNNNNNNNNNNNNNNNNNNNNNNNNNNNNNNNNNNNNNNNNNNNNNNNNNNNNNNNNNNNNNNNNNNNNNNNNNNNNNNNNNNNNNNNNNNNNNNNNNNNNNNNNNNNNNNNNNNNNNNNNNNNNNNNNNNNNNNNNNNNNNNNNNNNNNNNNNNNNNNNNNNNNNNNNNNNNNNNNNNNNNNNNNNNNNNNNNNNNNNNNNNNNNNNNNNNNNNNNNNNNNNNNNNNNNNNNNNNNNNNNNNNNNNNNNNNNNNNNNNNNNNNNNNNNNNNNNNNNNNNNNNNNNNNNNNNNNNNNNNNNNNNNNNNNNNNNNNNNNNNNNNNNNNNNNNNNNNNNNNNNNNNNNNNNNNNNNNNNNNNNNNNNNNNNNNNNNNNNNNNNNNNNNNNNNNNNNNNNNNNNNNNNNNNNNNNNNNNNNNNNNNNNNNNNNNNNNNNNNNNNNNNNNNNNNNNNNNNNNNNNNNNNNNNNNNNNNNNNNNNNNNNNNNNNNNNNNNNNNNNNNNNNNNNNNNNNNNNNNNNNNNNNNNNNNNNNNNNNNNNNNNNNNNNNNNNNNNNNNNNNNNNNNNNNNNNNNNNNNNNNNNNNNNNNNNNNNNNNNNNNNNNNNNNNNNNNNNNNNNNNNNNNNNNNNNNNNNNNNNNNNNNNNNNNNNNNNNNNNNNNNNNNNNNNNNNNNNNNNNNNNNNNNNNNNNNNNNNNNNNNNNNNNNNNNNNNAAUGGUAAGUUGACCUAACUUCAUUGUUAAUGUAGAAUUGAUAUAGAAUUGUGAUAGAUUGAUGUGUGAUCCACUUAUGGUGGAGGUGCUUAUAUGUUGAAUGUAUUGUGAUUAUGGCCUUGAAGGCAUUGUAUGAGGAAGUUGAAGUGUUGACAUGAUAUCAUAUAUGUGAAUGUGAUGUGAAGGAUUUGAAUGAGAAUCUAAUGAUGUAUAGGUAAUCAUGUUGUGAAUGUAAAGGUGUUCAUGUGAUCUCAAAGUGAUUUUGUAUAAGUUGUUAUUGUAUUGUGAUUGGAAGUAUGUCCUCUCUUAAUGUUCAUAUGUGAUGAUGAUGGAAUGUGAAGAAUUUCUAUAAUGUGAUGUAUGUCUUGAAUUGGUAGACUUAGGUGCCUCUUCUUGAUACAUGGAAGUUAUGGAAUGUAAUCUCUUAACUUGGUAGGCUUAGGCACCCUUCUCUUGAGUAAUGAAUGUAUCUUGACUUGAUGUAUUAUUGUAUUAAAUUGGUAGACCUUGAGUUGGUGCCCCUUCAUAAAUGAAUGAAUGUCUAGAAUCGGUAGACCUAAGUAUGGUGCCCUUUCUAUGAAUGAUUAAUGAGGCUUCUAGGCUAUGUCUUGAACCGAUAGACCUAAGCAUGGUUCCCCUUCAUGAGGACCCUAGGACCCUAAGUGAAUGUAAAACCUUGAAGCGGUAGACCUUAUGAUGGUGCCUCCUUCUUGUGUGAAAUGAUAGACUUAGAGUUGGUGGACUGGAACAGUAGAAAGCCCUCUCUAAGAAAGUUAAUGAGCUAUACUUAAUGAACCUUGAUCGGUAGAUCCUUGUGGUGCCCUUCUUGGUAGAUGUGCUAUGGGUCGGUAGACCUAAUGAUGGUGCCCUCUCUAGUACAUACAUGUGAAUGAAAUUACUCUAUGGGAACUAAGGCUAAACACCGAGUGGAUAUGGUUAAGAUGGUAGCUCUUCUUGAGUAUGAGGCGAGAGUACAAUGAACAUCUUUGGAUAUCCCCUAAACCAUGUGCCUACAUGGAAUGUGUCCUAGUUUUACCCUUGGCAAGUAGAACACCUUCCACGGUGUAGGGUUUUAUGACACCAGAUUCCAUGCCUAGCUAGUAUGGUCUAUGUCGGUUAAUGUUUAUUCCCAUUAUGUGGGAUGUGCACUCUAGUCAUUGGAUAGGUUCUACAACGUGUAGGUAGUAGUAUGGGAUGCUAUCUACACAUGGCACUAGUAGGCCUUGAAGAUACUAAAGUGAGUUCCCUAAGCCUUAAUGGCUAUUGUAUGAAAGUCCUCUAAAUGCAUGAAUGUGUCCUAAAAUGGUGUAAUAAAGAAUGUUGACUUAGCACGUUGUAUUGUAAUGAUAAAUUCCUUAUCUAUGGUAACCCUUAGGAACACUUAGGUGUAUAUGAAGAUGUUGUAUGGGCGGUCACUUCAUGUCUCACUUAAGUGUGGCUUAGGGUGACUUGAGAUAGAGGUUUCAAGAUGAUGAAAUGACUUACUUGACUAUUAUGUUUAUGUAUUGUACAUUGGUACUAGUUGAGUAUGUCUAUUAUGUGGGUAUUGUCUUAUAUGUGGAUGAUGACUUGAAAUGUGUCUCUUAUACUUGUGUUAUGAAGGUUUUACCAAAUGGCAUAAAGCAUGUUUCUCCAAUAAAUGUCCCCUUUUAGCAUGUUUUUGCAUGGUUUCCAUACUUAGUACUUAAUUGUGUUAACCCCUUUCUUCCCCUCUUCUUACUAAAGUGUAGGGAUUGGAGAUGUUGGUGUUCUAUGGUUGAUGGAUAGGUUCCUAAGGUGCUUGAAGAUGAAGACUUGGUGAGUCCUCAUAGAUUCGGGGACAACACCCAAUAUGUUCCUUUAUGUCUUGUAGUUUUGUUCAAGUUUUGUAUGGGCUUAGUCCCAAUGUUGUACUCUAAAGGUAUUAGAUGGUUUUGAGACAUCAUGUAUAAAGUCUAGAAGUCUUCCGUUUGCUAUUUUAUUAAAAGGUGUUCUUUCGAUUGUAAAGAAAGUUUUAAAUUCCUUAUGAUUUUUAGUGUCUAUGCGAUGAAUGAAUGCUAAGAGGCUUGUAUUAGACCUCCGAGAGGUUGAGUACACCGGUUACGACUAGGGGGUGCUCUCAGGUUGUGACAAUUGCAUCCCUUUAUUCAUUUACUGUUAAGUUAUAGGUUUUAAGAGUCUUAGUUAGAUAUGAUUAAAUGAUAAUUUUCCUUCUUAGUAUUCUUGCCUUUAUGCACUUCUUUAAUAUUAUAUCUUUCCAUCUAGUUAGGAAGUUUCUUUAAUCGAAUGGUAUAUCUUAGUCAUAAUUACUAGUUGCAAUUAUCUCUUUUCUUUGGAUAUAAGAUCUUUACCCUUUUCUGUUUAGAAGUGUAUUGGUUUCAUAAUCAUGCUUAUCUCUUGAAAUUAUUCAUGCAUUUAUCUCCAUUUCUUUUAGUUAUUAGUUUGACCAUUUGUUCGUUGGACCUUUAUCUCUUUCGUAAUUCUUUUAUUUCCUUUUGUUGCAUGUGGAAAUCCAUCAGAGUUCACCAUGAACUCCUAUUCCCCUUCCUCGCAUUUUGAGAGAGUCAUAAAGGCUUAAAUCACUUCCUUCUGAAUCGGCCAGCCUUUGGAAUCAAGGAAACGGACCUCAAAAAAUUGAUGAACAUGAAUUGGAGCUAAUUCGGGAUCGUAUACACCUAGUGUAUACGAAAAUCGAGAAAUGGGCCCAAAUGCCUCCAAAUGCCUCCAAAUUCCAGAAGUUGUAUUUUGUUACUUUUGGGGCUAAGCCGACUUAUUUAUUAUUAUCUUGUUAGAGUUUAGGAUAGGUGGAAGAUGGGCCCAAAGCCCAAAGAAAUAAAAUUCAAAAUUCAGUCGAGGACAGAUACAAAAGUUGGCAAGAAUUGGGCCUUUGGCCUAAAACGAAAAUAGGCCCAAGUACUGGCCCAGACGGACAGAUCCAGACUUGGGCCCAAAUCUUCUUUCCCUAUCUCAUUUAUUUGCUGUUAGGUGUUUUAUGUGUUUAUUUGAUUUUAAGGUUUCCUAAUCAAUUCCCCAAAAUAUAGUCACUUCGAGAUUUUCUAAAGACUAAAAAUCAUGCUUAUUUUUCUACUUAAAUUACUUUAAAAUUUUACUUAAUAGUAUUUUUAAUAUUUCUCUCCCCUAAAAAUGAUGUUAAGUCUUAAUUGCUUAUUCCCUCUAUUUAAUCAAGUAUGUGUAUUUUCUUAAAACUGUUUAGCCAAAUAGUUAAUUAUUGGAUAAUCGCAUGUUAGCGGGCAUUUCGGGUGCUUUAAAACCCUUCCCGAAAUGCUAAUAUGAACCCCGAAUCCUUUAAAUAUUUUCAAAAGAUUUCUGUUUUAGUCUUUUGGGAAAAAAUAGUUUUUUUUUGUGUUACUUUAAAAAUUAAGUGGCGACUCUUAAAACCAAUUUUUUUUAAAAAAAUAAAACAACAAACAUGUAUCGAUAAGUACAAUUUAAGAACGAAAUAUAAAAGUAUAGAAAUAUAUACAAAUUAAUAUAUACUAAUAAGAUUUGUACAAAUAUCUGGCUUUAUUCAAAUUCGUUUUGUUCUAUUAAAUCAGAGACGACAUCAUCGUUGGUUUUUGACUCUUUGCUAUUAGAAUAAAUUUCCUUUACUUGGAUCUAAACUAUUUAUUUGAUAAUUUGUUACAUAACGAUUGGAUCGUUUCUAUGCUUGGAUUCAAAAUCUUGAUUCAACCUCUUCCCGACAAUUGCUCUAUAUUUUACAAAUGACUCUGCAACACUAAUUAUUUUCCGUCGCUAGCAACCCUAUGUGCCACAAUCAUUAACCAAAUUGGCAUUUCUAAAGUAGACCGCAAAAGUCGCGUAACUCUUAAAAUGAAGAUUCAAAAUGUAAUUUUAUAAAGUGAAAAUUUUAUAAAUGACAUUUAUUAGACUAAUAUUUUCAAGUUAUAGUAGUAGAAUAAAACUUUCAAGUUGUAACAAUAAAAAAUUUCAGGUUCUAAUAUUUUAUUAAAAAAAAAGUUUUUUAAGUAAUUAUAAAAAAUAAGUUUUGAAAAAAAAAAGAAGAUAAAAAAGGAUAAAAAAUCAAAUUUGAAAAAAUGAAGAAGAUAAAAAACGGAUAAAGGUGUAUUAAUUAAUUUUGAAUUCCUUGAUGAUAAUUGUUAAUUGUCAUAAAUUUAGGAGAUUCAAACAAAUUAGAAAUAAUUAUUUUCCUUAUUUCACUCAAAUCUGUUAACAUUAAUUAAAAAAUAAGAUUUUAUUCAUUUUGUUCAAACGUUUUUCUCUCUUCGUUUUAUUUUAGAAUUUGGUGUCACUCACGAGUAGAUCCAAAUUUUUUUGGUUGAAUAAUCUUCAUUUUGUUGUAAUGAACGGCUUCUUAUCUAUAUUAAUUAAACAUGGUGGUAGAUGACAUCCUUCUAGUUAGUAUUCUUUACGAUUUAUUAUUUGUAUUUGUAUAUUACUGAAACGUAAAAAAAGAACAAUGAAUCUGUAAAUGACAUUUUUUUGAUUUUGUUUAUGUAUACUAGAUUUAAGUUGUGAUGUUUUUUGUAUGAACAUAUUUUAUUCAUAAUACGUAAUUAUUUUUGUGAAACUGGAGUUAAUGUUGGUACGAUUGUUUUUGCUAUUUUUUUUUGGUUAUUUUGUAUACUGUUUAUAUCAUGGAUUUGUGCGAUAUUGGAUUAAUAUCUAAAUGAUUUGAGUACAAGUGUAUGGAAUAUUAAUAGUAUUAGCGUUGUAAAGUUAUGAAAUUUGUGACAAAAAAAAUGUAUGAAAUGUGUUUAAUGGUAUGAAAUGUGUUGUAACAUUGUUAUGAAACUGGUAUUUUUUUAGUCAAUUUUAUAAUAAUAAUGAGAUGGAUUCGGUAUGCAGUUUAAAAUUAUAAUAUGGGAUACUAUUUUUUUUUCUUCUGAAAAUUUAAAUAAAAUGUGUAGGUUGGAAUGAAUUUGGUAGUGUAUUUGGAAUGAUAUUGGUAUGAAUAAUUAUUCACUAUUGUGUAAAUAAUAUGAUUAAGAAGUAUGAUGAUUUGUAUGAAAUUGUAUUAGGUUGGUAUGAAAUUUGAAUAUAAAUACAACACAUGUUUUACUUUUGUGUUAUGUAAAAGUGACUGUGAUUUCGUAAUGAAACAGAGAAAUAUCCUACGCCAAAACAAUGAUGUCGUCAAGUGGGUCACAACAGGAAGACAUGUUCAAAUUAUCCUGCGCCAAAACAAUGAUAGUUUAUUUGUUUAAACUAUACAAAAAAAUUAUUUUAUUUUGUCUUUUAGAUUCAUGUUUUGUUUUGAUUGUGACAAUGUAUUCAUUGUUUUCCAAUAAUAUUUAUUGACAAUGCAUAUCAAAUAUAUACAAAAUUGAUAACAAAUGCAUUCCAGCAUAGUGUUUAAUAUAUUGUUCAUGUUUUAUACAAGAUUCAUUCAGUAAUCAUACCAAUUGCGUACUGCUGGAAAUCAAAUUCAUGUCAAUUUAAUAUAUAAGGUACUAUUCAUAUUAGUGAACAUUAUAUAAGGUAAUUAUGGUAUGCAUUUGAUAAUCCAUUUGGUAUGCAACUGAAUAGCCACUGCUAUUAUUUAAUGUAAUUUAGCAUGAGUAUUAAUUUUGUAUCCAACUGGUGUCCUACUCUAAACAAAAUAAAACAAGAUGUAAUUGAUGUUGGUGCAAAAUUUAAUGAUCAUUGUUUUAAAUUGUCAGAUUCAUUUCUUCUGAUAUUUAUACAGAUUGUAUACCAACUUCAUUGAUAAUAUAAAACAAGAUGUAAUUGAGAUUGUUACAAAAUACAAUGAUCACUAUUUUACAUUGGCAUAAUCAUUUCUUCAAGGUAUUUAUACGGGUUGGAUACCAACUUCAUUCAUUUUUAUUUUUUUAUUUUUUGUGUUAGAAUAUGAAGUAAAAAAAAAUCAAUCAUGUACGAAUUUGGAUGCCAAAAGUAUACAGUUUGGAUACCAAUUAUAAGACAGAGUUAGUUCAUGAACUCUAGGUGUUCGUUUUGUUUCAGUUAAUAAGACAUUGUUAGUCAUGAACUCUAAAUGUUGAAUUCAAUUGGUAUGCAGUUUGUAUAUAACUGUUAUCCCGAAAAUUAUCAUACUUAAUGUGUAAUAUAUCUUUUGAAUGGGGUAUCCAAUUGGUAUGCAGUCUAUAUAUAACUAGUAUCCUGAAAUUAUAAUAGUCAAUCUGUAAUUCAUAUGUAGUUGGUAUCUGAUUGGAAGAAAACAAUGGAUAUUAUAUAUCAUCAAAUACUUAAAACUGUAUCAAACACAAAAAUAUCGUCCAAAUUUUUUAAAAAAAAAUUGUAAUUCUAAAAAGUCUAAGUUGCAAUUAACUAUCUCAAAUUAGAUCUCCGUGGUCUUGGUGUAGGAUAAUUGUUGGUAUUCGGAGCAUGUUCUUUUGCUAUGCGAGGUCCACCAAACUUGCUAGCAACAGUUCCAGUUAUUUCACUCUCACUGAUCGCGUCAUCAUCGUUCUUUGUUUUUCCAUAAUGUCAUAUUAUUGUGGCAUACCUUUGACGAUGGUACUUUGCAUCGAUAUCAACGAAACGCAUAUCAAAAACUCCAUUACUGAUGUAUUUAGCAAAUAGACAUGUGUACAAACCACAAUCACUCGAAAAAAAUGAAAGAAAAAUAAUUUUAAGAAAUAAAUUGAGUUAACUUUUCAUUUCACAUUCAUAUACAUAAAUUUUAGCAAUACAUCAUACCAGAUUUGGAAAAAAAAUCACACCAAUAUUAUUGAAACAUCGUACCAGAUUCAUGUGCACUGUGGCAUUUAACAAACUACUUUCAUAAAUUUAUCCAACUACAAUUAAAAUAAUUUUCAAAACAACAUCUAAUAUCAAUUUAUACAAAUUUCAUACCAAUGUUAAAAAUUAAAAUACAUUAGUGGAGAAAUUGAAAAAUAAACCUUCCUAUUAGGAAAAAUACUAAUUUCAUAGCAAUAUUAGUCAUAAUUCAUACAAAAAAGAGUAAUUUAACAAACUGCACUAAAAUCACCUAAUUGGGCUACUGAUAUCAAACGAAUUUAAUACCAAUGUCAAAACACAUUUCAUACCAAUUGUAUAUCAAUAUUAAAUCACAUUUCAUGUCAUAUUCAUAAAUCAUAUAUUAAAGUUAGAUUCAUAUCAAUAUUAUUCACAUUUCGUACAAGUUUCACACCAAUACAAGUUUCGUACCAACAAUAUGCAUAAUAUAAUAUUUUUAACAAAAAACCACUAAUUUGAAAAUAAAUUAAAUAUAAUACUUAUCCUAACCAUUUUUGCCUUUUUUGGAUAUUGGGAUUUCUGAGUCCUCCUUCAUUGUUGCUCUUCUUCUUAAUGAUUUUGAAGACUGAUCAAUUUCGACAUUUGUUGCUUUUUUUGGUUUUUUCUUUUUUAUCUCACUUACGAAAUCCGAAUCAAAAUCAGAAUGUGACAAGUUUAUUAAUUGCUUUCUCCACAUUCUUAGUGUGUAGAUCUCCUCCAAUCAUUGAAUCAUAUACAUGUGGAAAAGUUUGUUGAUUUUCUUUUUGAAUGAAGAAGACGAACGUUGAAUAUGGUGAAGAAAGAAAAAAUUAGUUCUCUGUAAAAGAGGAACGUGGGGGUGGGGUGUGGGGUUUGCGUAAGGGUAAAAGAGGAAGGUGGAGGUGUGGGUGGGGGGUUGUCGUGUGAAAACUGGAAAAUUUCCCCCCUAAAAAUGGUGUAAGGGAUAAUGACAAUUGAUUCUCUAAUAUUAAUUUUAUCCCUAAAAUGGUGUAAGAGAUAAUGACAAUGUAAAAAGGAAGAUGAAUCAAUGUAAAUUCGGCGUGUAACUGUAAAAAAGUAACAGAAAUCAAUGUAAAUCCCUAUAAUUGUGUAAGAGAUAAUUAUGGUGUAUUCUUUAUUUAAAUAAUAUAAUAAUAAUAUAAAAAUAUUAAUUAUUUAAUAAAUUAAAAUUUAAUUGAUUUAUAAAUAAAUAGUGAUAUGUUAUAACCCAUAAUUAAACUGUUAUAAGCAAGAAUUUUUUAAAAGUAGAUUUAAAACUCAUAAUAUUAUCUCUUAAAUGUGUAUGUGGAGUGAUUUUUCCUUUUAUAAAAGAGUUAGGCUAAGAAAAAUUGUAUACAAACAAAAAUACUAAAAAAUAGUUUGAAACAUGUUUGGGCGGUUACUGCCGAGUGUUGAAAAAAAGUUGAAACAUAUUGAAAGUUGAAUUGUGAUGUCACGAUUAGGAGGGGCAGAAAUUAAAUUCAAAACUAAAAAUUAAUUUGGAUGAGAGAUUUGAAAAUUAGUGAGUGGAGAGAGGAGAGGUAAAAUUAAAUUUGUAUAAUAUUGUAUACAAAUCCGCCAAGUGUAUCUUUUGUUUUCAGAUACAAACUAUAUGUGGGUGUCGUAAUUAAAAGCAAAUUUUAUUAAAUUAUACCCACAAAUCAUAAUUUUGCAAAACUAUAACUUCAUUCACUAGUAUACUACUAAUGUUUACCAUUACGCGUAAUUUUCUCUUUUCUAUAAGUAAUCAAAAAAUAUUACACCAGUGUCAAAUGACCUAAAGUCAGAACAAAAAAAGUAUCAAAAAAUAAAGCGAUGAUAGGUUAGGCCCAAAAUAUCCAGCCCUAGGACAUGGAUAAGGGGGAAAGGAUUUCCUAAUUGUGUCUCCCAUCAUUUUUCGCUCAAACCCUUUAGACAUCUGGAUAAUGUUGUCGCUGGCAUAUAGUUGAAAUCUUUGCAUGUUCUAUCUGCUUCUCUGGGUUUAACACUCGUGUUCCUCUAUUUAAUGCGUCUUUUGGGUCAACGUUCAAAAGUAAGUGUCUCACCUCUUCUCUUUUUUUCUUGUUUUGAAGCUCGAUUCUGGCAUUCACUUCUCCCUCUUUGGCAUUAGCUAUGUUCUCCGGCGGAUAGGAUUGCGCUAUACCCCGUAGGCCUGAAGAGGGGCACUAUCAUAUGAAACUGUAUUUGUACUCUGUGUAAAUUCCUACUCCUUCGUGUUUUCCUCCUUCCUUUCCAAUUUAUUUCUGACAUUGUUUGUCAUGACCCAAAAAUGGACGUGAUGGAACUUGUCUAUCCCCACCAAGACAUGUUAGCCUCAACCCAACAACACGAAAGAAAUUCGGAAAGUAAGCAAGAAUAACAUAAGACGGGACACUUAUUCAUUCUAAUAUAAUUCCAAAACCUUGUUGUCACGUGUACAAGCCAGUAAUGUAUAAAGUGCAUAAUCGAAAGAUAAUUAUAUGUCUCAAUGUCUUUGUUUCUCAAAUAUAACAAGGCAUAAAAUAAGGAACAAGAAGGCCUGUCGGAAUGACAAGCAUCUACCUCUCAAUGUAUCCUCAGAAAGCCUCGGAUAUAACUAGAAGAAGAGCAAUCACAUGGAUCCAGAACCUACAUAAGAGUAGAAUCAAGGAGUGAGUACGAAUCAACACAGUACUCAGCAAGUAACCAAAUAAACAAGGCAAAACUAGCUAGAAUAUGAGUACUCCUUUCAUCUCAGCCAAAUCUCCUUAAACUACAACCUACAUAGAAAUCAUCAUAGUCUAACAGUUUCACAAUACGCAGUUCACAAGAUUAAUAGUUACAGUCCAAUGGUCACAGUUCAACAACCAACAAGUAUCAAGUAUGAAUUUCUCAAAUGACAAGUAGAUCAAUCACAAUCAUCAAGUUCAUCAAAUUACAAUAAUCAAAUACUUGCCAGAACCAUUCCUAUAACACUCCAGAAAAUUUUGAGCUAAAACUCAAACCAUUCUUCGUUGUGAGUAAGAUUUUUACCAAGGAAUUUAAAUUUUCUUAAGUGUUAAGAUCACUAGAUGUAGCACCUUGAGUUAAAAAAAAAAAGAACUGGUCACUAGAUGUAGCACCUUGAGUUCCAAAAAGAACUAAAGAGAAAUUCAUUCAAGUCAUUCGUAAAUUCUUUUAAGUUUUGGGUCAACUUCAAACGACUAUAACUUUUAGCACAUAAUGAGUUAGGAGGCCCAUAUGAUAUCAAAUGAAAGAUCUCUGAGUCUUCUUUCCAACACCCCCGGAUUUGCUAAAAUCCGAGUUCAGAUGAGGGAGAUAUGCCCGUUUGAGUUCAACCUGUACAAUUAAGGAAAUUUACUUGAAUUAAUGAGGGGUAUUUUGGUCUUUUCCUUACCCCCACUAGCCUAGCUCAUUUUUCAUAUAAGUAUAUUCUUAAUUUGUGCUUAUAGGGAUGAAGAAGAAAACCACGGAAGAUACAAAAGUAGAGAAAAUUAUGAAUUUCAGAAGAAGAUGAUGUAGAGUCUUACAAUAAAAUUAUUGUUAUAGUAAUUUUAUCUCUUUAGUUUUUCUUUCCUCUUCUCUAUUUUCCAUUUAUGUACUUUAUUGAAGAACUUAAAAUAUACUUUAAAAUUCUUUUAAUUGUAGCUCCUUAGAUUCUCUUUUUUCUUAAAGUUAUAUUUAAAAACGUAAUGGGAAGAGAAUAAAAUGAUAAAUAAGACAAAUUAGAAGACUGAGAAAGAGAACUUGAUAAAGAAAUCUUUUUUUUAUAUGUCUAUAGUUGUAUAUACAUAAUUCAUUAGGCAAAAUUAUGAGUUUUUGUCAAUUUUUAUUAUGAUAGCUUUUUGCAGCAUCCUAAAACGAACACUAUAUACUUGAAGUUACUGUUUAUUUGCAUGCUGAAGUGCAUUUCUAAAUUCGAUACUACGAUUAGAAGUAUUUUAAAGAGCAAAAAUUUGAUAACUUAUAAAAAAAAGUGUCAUUCAUGCAAUGAAUUAAAAAAAAUUGACAACAAACUAGAGCAUUUGUGUAAUUCUUAAGAAAAAGUAAAGAAACUAAAAACAUUAUAUCAAUACUUUCAUUUUCAAAAGAGAAGAAGAAAAGGAAGACAAUAUAUAAGGUCAUAAAUUUAUGUUUAUAUAAAACUAGAAUGAAACAACACUUCUUUUAACUUUAUAUUAGAAUACAUCUUUUUAAAUUAAGAUUUUUUUAUUUACUCUCACAUUUUAAUGCAAUAUUUAACUUAUCUUUUUUGUUUCUAUCUCUUUUUUGGUUUCUCCCUAUUUCUAUGUAACUAAUGUAAGAAUUAAUUAAGAAAAAAUAUAAGAAUUAGUUCCUCAAUUAUCACUAUUAAUAACUUAUCAUUUUUCCUAUGUCCUUACCAUAGACAAGGUGAUAUGUUACCUCUCUUUACCAAAGAUCUUAUUAUUAUUUUUUGAUAAAUUUCACUAUAUUUUAAUUUAUUAUUAUUAUUACUUUAAAAAGUGUCAAUUACUACUCUCUCCAUUCAUUUAUAUAUAUAUAUUUUUUUUUUGUAAAAGCUUAAAUAUCUCAAAAUUUAUUAUGCCACUGAUUCUUAUUCUUUGUUGUAAAUUCAAAGACUUAAAUAUUUAUCACUCCAACCUUUCAUUUCUCCAUAAAGAAUGAAAAACUAUAUCUAUCUAUAUAUAAUAUAAAAUUAGAUAUUAAAAAGUAAUUUGACACCUCUCUUUGGCCAAUGAUUCUAUUUAUUUAUUUUCUCAUUUUUGUUGUUGUUGUGAAUUUCACUAUAUUUCUAUUUAUUAUUACUAUUAAAAAAUAUGUCAAUUACUACUCCCUUCAUUAAUUUCUAUUAUUUAUUGUAAGAAUUUAAAUAUCUCAAACUUUACUACUCCACUUAUUCCUAUUCUUUAUUGUAAAUUUAAAUACAUAAUAUUUAUCACUCAAAUCUUUCAUUUUUUACCAAAAGAAUGAAAAUUUAUCAAAUUAGACUAGUCUAAUGAAAUAUCUUUUCAAAUAGCUUGAAAAAAAAACCCACCCCUUUAACUUUCUUAAUUAUGAGAUUUCUCUUUUUAUCUUAAUUUUCAAAAAUCUAAAAAAUAUUUACAUAAUUAUUCAAUUAAAGAAUAAGAUAAUUACUCACCAAAUAAAUUUAAAAAAGAGUUGUAACUCUACAAAAAUAAUUCUCAACAUUCAUUUAUAUUUAUUACAUUUUCAUGAUGAACCAUGAUUAAAGUUAGAAAUGAAAAAAUAUCGCACUAGCGAAAAAAUAUAUAUAUAUUUUUCAACUUUUUCCCUAUUUUUCCAUUUAUUUUAUCAGUUUAUAAGAAUAAAAGUCACAAUUAUUAUCAUUUAUUAUCCUAACUUUUCAUAUUUUUUACUAAAAAACAAAACUCAUCCACAUAUUGAUUUAUGAGAUCAUUGGUAUUCACUUUUAACUUCAUAUUUAUGUAGUGUUUGGUUUACAAAAUUUAUUUAGUUUUUAUAUAAAAUUGAUAUUUGAACUCUCUUGUGUAUUUAUUAUUUCUAAUGUAAUUUUCUUACAUAAUAUUAAUUAAUUAGUAGAUGUGUGAAUUGAAUAUAACUUCUACUUCCUUUCUUGAAUCUAGAAUUACACUUUCUAUACUUUUCAUAUGAAAGUUUUGUGUGGAUAUAUGAAAAGUUUAGGCUAUUAAUUUUAUUAAUUGCACUAAUUGACAUGCUCAUAUUUUAAAGUAAUAAUUGUGAAAAAGUUAAAUUACAAGUAAGAGAAAUUACAUGAAAUCUAAAUUAGAUAGUUAAAUAAAUUUAUAAGCUUAAAUAGUAUUAUAUAAAGAAAGUUAUUAGUAAAAUAUAAUAAAUAAUUUAAAACAAAAAAAAAAGAGAUAGUGACGUAUAUAAAAUUGGCGCAUACAAAUAUUUCUUUGUAUUUCUCCAAGGCAAAAUUAUAAUACUCUUUUUUUUCUUGAAACUAAUUUAAUUUAUUCUUUUUGUUCUUUUUUUCUUUAUAUAUAUAUAUAUAGAGAGAGAGAGAGAGUGUUUUUAGUAUUAAAAUUUCUUAAUUUCUUUUAUAUCAAUUAAAUAUAGAAAAAUAUGACCACGCGAAGCGCGAUUUUGUUAACUAGUUAGAUAUAUGUUAUGAAGGAAAAUAUUUAAAACAAAUAAAGAAGAAAAAAAUUUAAAACAUGUAGGAGAUAAGAAAAAGUAGUGCAAAUACUAUUUAAGUGAAACACCACUAACCGUGGAAUUUCAAAGGGCCAACAACUUUUAGAAUCUAUAUAUCAUAUCAUCAUAUCAUAUAUCAUAUUAUACUAAAAGUGGAAAGUCACAAAAGUAAAAGUUGAAAUACUAUUUUACCCCUAUCUUAAUUCAAAAUGUUAUAAAACUCUAAGCAAUUAAAUAUUGAAUAAUAAUUAUAUCAUAUUAUAUUAUAUUAAAUACUAAAAAUUAAAAGGUGUUUCAAAAGACAUUUUAAGAAUGUCACUUCAUUCUCCAACAUAACUUUUGAGCCUUCUACAGAAUUCUAGGCAAACUUUUGGCUUAUCAUAUUAUACUAAAAGUGGGAAGCCAUAAAAGUAAAAGUUGAAAUACUACUAUUUUACCCCCUAUCUUAAUUCAAAAUGUUAUAAAAUAUCUAAGCAAUUAAAUAUUAAAUAAUAAUUAUAUCAAAUUAUAUUAAAUACUAAAAAUGAAAAGGUGUUUUAAAAGACAUCUUAAGAAUGUCUCUCCAUUCUCCAACAUAACGUUUGAGCUUUCUACAGAAUUCUAGGCAAACUUUUGGCUUAUAAAUAUCAUGUUCAUGAGGUAAAAUCAUUAUUGACAAAUACAUAAGCUAAUUCGCCUUUCAAAGCUCAGAAGAAAAAAUAAACCGAUUUCAUCAAUUAUAGAAAAUGCUUAAGCAUGGAGAUCGUCGAUUAAGUAGAAGGUUGUAGUGGAGUAUUCUCUUGCUUUUCGAAGGGUUUAGACUUAGUGAUGUCUGUUGUAGUAGUACUUUUAUUCUUGUAUUGUUUUGCUUUUGCUUUCUACCACCAAUUGUUUUUAUGAUGUUUCAGUUAUUGCACUUUUUUUUUGUUAUUGUUUUCAUAAUAGUUGUUAUAUUAUAUUAUAUUAUAUUAUAUUCUCUUCACUGUCAUUCUUCUUUUUCAUAUUGCUGUACUUGACUCAAGUUGAGGGUCUUCUGAAUUGAGGUAAGGUCUAUACACACCCUACACUCCUAGACGGAUUUCACGAGAUAUGUUAUUAUUAUAAAAUAAAUAGCUAUAAAAUCAGAAAACAAAUUUAAACGUUUGAGCUGAAUUGAUAAAUGUAACGUUUGAGUUGAAUUGAUAAAUGUAUAUAUAUUUUGCUUUGUUAGCAAGUUUUGUCGAGAAAUAUGUUUAUUCAUCCUUUUUGAUCAGUGGUAGAACCUGGUGAACCAGGCCUACUGCUUGCCUUUCUUUUUGGAGCCUUAUAUUAAUUAUAUAAUUUUUAAGAUUUCUUUUGUCUUUAAAUUUCAAUUCUCUUAGUUAAUUUAGUAUUUAGAGUUCGAAGUAUUUACAUGCAUUUACAGUAAUCUAAAGCAUAAAAUUCAAUUGGCAUAUUUCUAUAUACCAUUAUGGGGCUAUAUGAUAUUGAUUUUCUUCACGUAUUUAUUGCUAGAUGGUAACUAUGUUUGUCCGUUUUUUCGAGUUUAUUUCUAUUCAGCAAAUAAAUUACAGUAAACACAAUACAAGUUCAACUUUUAAAUUCGCAAAUUUUAAAUGGCGUCUCUGUAUCAUAACAACAAAUAUUUUCUCAAGUGACAGAGAUUUUAAAAUACAUUUUUAAUUUAUUAUUUUGUUACACAAAUUUUAUAAUAAAAGUUGAAAAUAUAUAUAUGCAAAGCAUAUAUAUAUGUGUGUGUGUGUGUUAUGGUGUAUGAAGCGAUGAAUAUGAUGUCAAGCACCGUUGGUAAAUUUGGUCUCUACUCUUGUCAGAAAUAAGUAUUAUCUUAUUCUGGAGAAAAAUAUGAUGCGUACUUCGUUAUACAUAAUUUACAAAUUAUAGGAUUUGUCAGUGCAAUUACUUCCCUCUCAUGGUCUGUACCUUUUGAUUUUUCCUCUUUAAACUUGUAGCUUCUGAAUUUCGAAUAUGGAUAAGUUAUUGAUUCUAUAUUUAUUUUCUAUCUAUAAUCUAUAUGAAUAAAGUCUUAUGAAUGAUGUGUAUGCUAUAUUUUUCUUCUAUUUUUUUUGUGUGUUUUUUCUCUAUUAGACUUCACCUAUCUAUUUUUUAUGAAUUUUUUUUUAUCAUUAUCGUAAGUUUGUAUUGCUAUUUGGCUCAAAUUUGUCAUUUGUGACUUUAUUGGAAGUCUGUUAAUUACUAAACAAAGUUUAAAAAUUACCGAUAAUAGCUUCAACGAAAUUGAUUUACCGAUGGUAGCUUCAAAGGAAUUGAUUUCAAACAUUACAAUGUGUCCCUCAUUUGGUGUUUCUUGACGCACAUUAAAAAAAUAUUACCCACUUCACACGAUUUGCAUAAAAUUUUAAUUGUUCUAACGAAUCAAUAAAAAUUCACAUGAUACACACGUGCAACGCACGUGUCCAGAGACUAGUAUAUAUAUAAAGGAGAAACAUAGAGAAGGUGAUGAUGUUGCACCUCUCUAUGGCCCCCAUUCAUAUUUGUCUCUUUUUUUUACCGUUUUUUCCUUCAAUAUUUAAUUAUUUUAUUUUUAAUACCUCAAAAAGUCUUCACAUUCAAUUACUCAACUUUUCACUUACCACUAUAAUAUAUAUAUUUAAUAUCUUUAAUAAAAUAAGAAAUAACUACCAAUAACUCACACCUCUUCAACUUAUAAUCUUAAUAAUAUUCAUAACUCCAUUUUUUUUUAAUCUUCAUAACCCCCAAAAAUUAAAUUUAUUAGUUUAUGACACCUUAUGGUAUUCCUCCUCUUUUUCUAUAUAAGUUCAUAUUUUGUAGCAAGAAAAAUUUUAUUCAAAGUUAUUCUUUCACUUCUCCAUCACCAUAUCAUACAUUAGGGUGAGGAAGAAAUACUAAUCAUCACAUGAUAUGGUUGCUUUCAACAAAAUCGUAAAGAAUCUAUGGGUAAAAAUGUUUUUUUUUUAUUUGUUAAAUUAUUUAAUAAUUUAUGUGAUGUUAUUUAUUUUGUUUAGUCAAUUUAACUAAUCUUUGAAACUAAAUUGAAUAAACUCAAUCCAAAUAAAAUCAUGGAGUAACUAACAAUUUCUUAAUAUACUAUAUGUGCUUGUAGGGUGAAGAAGAAAGUUGAGGAAGAUACAAAAGUAGAAAAAAUUAUGAAUUUUGGAAGAAGAUAAUGUAGAGUCUUACAAUAAAAUUAUUAUUAUAGUAAUUUUAUCUUUUUAGUUUUUCUUUCAUAUUCUCUAUAUUUCAUUUAUGUACUUUAGUAAAGAACUUAAAAUAUAAAGAUUUUUUUUCCUUUUCUUUUAUAUGACUAUAGUCGUACAUACAUAAUUCAUUAGGUUAAAUUAUGGUUAGUUCUUCUGAAUUUUUAUUAUGAUAAUUUUUUGCGACAGUCUAAAACGAACAUUAUGUACUCGAUGUUACUAUUUAUUUGUAUGCCGAAGUGCAUUCCUAAAUACGACACUAAGAUUAGAAACAUUUUAAAGAGCGGAAAUUUGAUAACUUACAAAAAGAAAAAAAAAAUGUUAUACAAGCAAUGAAUUAAAAAAAUUGACAACAAACUUAAGUAUUUGUAUAAUUUUAAUGAAAAACUAAAAAAACUUUUUGAUAAAUUUCACUAUAUUUUAAUUUAUUAUUAUUAUUUAAAAAGUGUCAAUUAUUACUCUCUCCAUAUAUUUCUAUUAUAUAUUGUAUUCACUUAAAUGUCUCAAAAUUUAUUAUUCUACUUAUUCCUAUUCUUUAUUGUAAAUUGAAAGGCCUAAAUAUGUAACUCCAACCUUUCAUUCUCCAAGAGGAAUGAAAAAUUUAUAUGUAUCUAUAUAUAUAAAGCUAAAAUAUUAAAAAAAUGAUUUGACACCUCUCUUUGGCCAACGAUCCUUAUUUAUUUAUUUUUACUUUUUUAUUAUUGUAAUUUUCACUAUAUUUCUAUUUAUAAUUACUAUUAAAAAAUGUGUCAAUUACUAUUCCCUUCAUUAAAUUUCUAUUAUUUAGUAUAAGAAUUUAAAUACCUCAAAUUUUAUUACUCCACUUAUUCCUAUUAUUUAUUGUAAAUUUAAAGGCAAAACUAUUUAUCACUCAAAUCUUUCAUUUUCUCCUUAACGAAUGAAAAUUUAUUAAAAUAGAGUAGUCUAAUGAAAUAUCAUUUCAAAUAGCUUGAAAAAAAUUAACCAUCCCUUUAACUCCUAAUUAUGAGAUUUCUCUUUUUAUCUGAUUUUCAAUAAUCUAAAAAAUAUUUACAUAAUUAGUCAAUUAAAGAAUAAGAUAAUUACUCACUAAGUAAAUUUUAAAAAUGGAAAUGCGUAACUCUCCAAAAAAAAUUCUAACACAUUUAUAUUUAUUACGUUUCAUGAUGAACCCAUGAUUAAAGUUGACAGUAAAAAAAUAUUGCACUAGCGAAAAAAGAUAAUUUUUUCCCUAUUUUCUUAAUUAUUUUAUUAGUUUAUAAGAAUAAAAGUCACAAUUAUUAUCGUUUAUUGUCCAAAUUUUUCAUAUUCUUUAUUGAAAAUCAAAACUCAUCCACAUAUUGAUAUAUGAAAUCAUUGAUAAUCGCUUUUAACUUCUUCAUCUUUAUGUAGUGUUUGGAUUACAUAAUUUAUUCAGUUUCUAUACAAAUUUGAUAUUUGAGCUCUCUUGUGUAUUUAUUAUUUCUUAUUUUUAAUGUAAAUUUUUUACGAAAUAUUAAUUUUUAUGACUUUCAUAUGAAAGUUUGUGUAGAUAUAUAACAAAAAUUUUAGGCUAUUAAUUUUAUCAAUUAAACAAAUUAAUAUGCUCAUAUUUUAAAGUAAUAAUUGUGAAAAAUUUAAAUUAUAAGCAAGAAAAAUUACAUGAACUCUAAAUUUAUAUAGUUAUAUAAAUAUAUAAAUGUAAAUAGUAUUAUAUAAAGGAAAUUAUUAGUGAAAUAACAUAAGUAAUUUAAAACACCCAAAAAUGAGAUAGCAACGUAUAUAAAAUUGGCGCAUAAAGAAAUAUGUCUUUGUAUUGUUCCAAGGAAAAAUUAUAAUUCUCUUCUUAUUUUCUUGAAACUAAUUUAAUUCUAUUGUUUUUUCUUUUAUUGUUAUUUUCUGUUUGAUUUUUCCAUUUUCAUAUAUAUAUAUAUAUAUAUUAGUAUUGCAAUUCUUAAUUUUUAUAUAUCAAUUAAUAUAGAAAAAUAUAACUGCGCGAAGCACGGUUUGCUUAUCUAGUAUUAAAUAUAUGUAAUGAACUUUAGGAAUAUAUGCAAUGAACCUCCAUUAAAAUCUGGAAGAGUAAACAAUCCUCCUUUGAGCACAUGAACUCUCCAUUUACUCAAUGUAGUAAUUGAUUAUCACUAAUAUUUAAACAUGUAAUUAACUAAAUAUUUUAAUUUAAUGUAGGAGUGAAAUGGUAUUUCAACUUUUAACUUUUUUUGUUCCCACUUUUAGUUAGAUAUGAUGAUAUGAUAUAUGAUAUAAUACAUGUCAAUCCUAAUAUGUUUAAACAACAAAACAAAUGAUAAAAUUAAACGAACUAAUUUUCUUAAAUUAAUGAGAUCAUCAUAAAUUUUAAAAACAAAUAAAAAAUUAUAGUACCCUUAAUCAUGAGGAUAGAAGAAGUCAGUAUUGUCGUUAGAUAAAUAAUUUGCAUUUGUUAAGACAUCUUCUUUUUACUACCGAGUGAUGAUGCUUCUUCAUUGGCCAACUUGACCAUGCAAAAUUUACCAGGUCUUACUUUAUUACAUAUCCAAGUUAAUGUUAAUAUACUAGUUCAAAGAUAGUUGGAAGUAACAGAAAAAGAGGUAAAGAUUAGCAAAAGUAAAUUACUGAGCUAGGAGAACUACUUCAUUAUGUCUUGAUAUUUUCUGGUGAGCGUAAUGCGGACUUUGAGUCUCACUAAAGCUCCGUGCGCCACGACAGUAAACUAUAAUAUGGAUGGAGGACUACACUGGCGGCCUCGUUUGAGGCUCGUGUGAAGUGUAUGCACGCGGGUGUGUGCUGGUGUAAUAUAUAUAUAUAUAUAUAUAUAUAUGUAUGGAAUGAAAAGAUGGUAAAGAGGUUAGCUAAUAGCCAAAAGCUAUCUCAUUAAGGCAUACAGCCAAUUAGUACAUAAACCUCAACCAUAUCCAAACUCUUAACAGUGAAAUGUAGAAAUCACAACAGCGUUACACUAAUCUGGUGAAGGAAGAAAAUUCCAAUACAUAAGAAGGCUCUGGUGAUUGAACUCAUUUACUCAAAUUUGUAAUGCUUGUCCACUUCUUCAGAAACAUCCCAAGUGCAGCUCAUUCCUUUGGGGAACUCAACCAAGUCGCCUGCGCCUAUCUCAACAGCCUGAUUAGAACCAUCAGGGUAAACCUUCACCUUUCCCUUCAGCAAGUAACAUGUCUCUUUGGCAGAGUAUGUCCAUGGGAAUUUGCUAGGAGGACAACCCCACCUAUUUCACAAAUAAGUCUCUACUUAGGAACCAGAAAAAAACAAAUAGGGUGGGACUAAACAAUUAUGCAAAAUGACAGUCAGAUUAAACACAAGCCAACUUAUUGAAGACACUGGAUGAGCUACUAAUACAGAAUUACAGGAUCGAAGGAGUAACGAAAGAUAAACCACCCCUUUAAAACAUGCUGCAUGAGAUGAUCAGAGUGAACAGCUAGUGAAGGUUAAAUAAGUACCCCCAUUUUAGCACAGUGCAAACUGUUUCUACGCAUCGUAAAAUAUCUUCUCUAGGUAAAAAAAUGCUUCCAAGGCAAGUAAUUGAUGCAGAAAUGGAAGGUUCAGGCUUUGCACUUUUAACAAUCCCAUUCUUACAAUUUGGAUGCUUAGCACAAUUUAAUGGGAUGGUGCUGUUAAGGUGAUAAACUUCUAGGCAUCAGUCUGAAUUGCAAACUAUUAUGCUUAGUUACUGCAGAAAACUGCUGUAUUAUCCCCUCCCCUCUUUAGUUUUUUUCCCUUUGUUUAUUUCUCUUCUAUGUUAAUUGAGUUUAAUCCUAUGAGAGAAGGGAAAAAUUUCCUAUUUUGCAUAGCUAACAAUUUUAUAUAUCUACAAAGAUCAGACAACUGUAUGUAGACAAGCGAAAGAUGCUGCACAAGUUUGAAACCGGAAUACUUUGAUCCGGAAUAAUCAAUGUCAAUAAGACUUCAGGUGGACCAACAACCUGACAUCCACAAUUUAUAGAAAACAGUUCUGCCCGCUUCAAGAAUUUCGCAGAGCUGGAGAAUGAUAAAAUGCCAAGAGUGUAUUAUGAUGAGGAACAAUGCUUCAGAAAAUUUCUUGGCCACCUAACUUUAGACAUCAAGAAGAAAAUCAAGGCAAAGCUUCUGUAGGUAUUUAACUAUACACAGGUUAGAGAGGCCAAAUUAUGAUUUCAAGACGUGGGGCUAAAAGGAAAUGUAUCCUUUAUGUUAGGAUAAUAAACUACAAUUGAGUAAACAACAUUUCAUGAGAUUAACAUGCUCAGAUAAGUGCACUAAAACCACUGCCACCCAAAACAGCACUUUUAAUUUAAACUAUGACACCUUCCUUGAGCUUAUACAUGCUUGCUGGAGCCUGAAUUUGCUUUUCUACAACAUACUCUACUUAAACAUUUUUUUUCUCCCUGCAAUGUUGAUGAUUAAGGUGUCACUUCAUCCACCCUUGAGAUCUUAGAAGUGGAGACCCAACAUAUAUUUACGAACAUACUAAAGGUGAUUCGGAGCACCCUGAGAGACUGGGAUUUUGGGUACUGUAGGUGGAUUACAGUUGAGGAGGUUAAACGCCCUAUUAUGAAGAUGAGCAGGGGAAAAGCAACCAGACCAGAUGAGAUCCCGAUGGAGCUUUGGAAGAGCAUAGACAGGGUAGGUAUGGAGUGGUUAACUGAUUUGUUUAAUGUCAUUUUUAAGACAGGUAAAAUGCCAUAAGCAUAGAGGUGGUGUACAAUGGUUCCAUUGUAUAAGAACAAGGGUGAUAUCCAAAAGUGUAACAACUACAGGGGUAUCAAGUUGUCAAGCCACACUUUGAAAGUUUAAGAGAGAGUGGUGGAGUUGAGAGUAGGCGGGGUGUGUCUAUUUUCGAGAACUAGUUUGGAUUCAUGUCGGGCGAUCCACUACAGAAGCCAUCAAUCUUGUACGGAGAUGGGUGGAAAAAUACAGAGAAAGGAAGAGAGACCUACAUAUGGCGUUCAUUGACCUUGAAAAGGCCUAGGACAAAUUCCCGAGGGGCAUGCUCUGGAGAUGCCUAGAGGCUAAAAGGGUACCGAUGGCUUACAUUAGGGCGAUAAAGGACAUGUAUAAGAGCUAAAACGCGAGUUAGAAUGGUGGGAGGAGACUCGGGGCACUUUCCAGUAGAGGUGGGAUUGAACCAAGGAUCAGCUCUUAGCCCGUUCCUAUUUGCCUUGGUGAUAGAUGAAUUGAUGCAGUCCAUUCAAGUUGAGGUGCCUUAGUGUAUGUUUUUUGCAGAUGUCAUAAUAUUGAUUGAUGAGAUGUUCAAUGGAGUUAAUGCUAGGUUUGAGGUGUGGAGACAAAUUUUGGAGUCUAAAUGGUGCAGGUUAAGCAAGACCAAACCAAAGUAUUUGAAGUGCAAAUUCAAUAAAGCAAUGCAAGAGGGUAAGUGAGGCUUGAUACUCAGGCUAUCACCAAGAAAGAUAGUUUCAAGCAUCUUGAGUCUAUAAUCCAGGAACGUGGAGACAUCGACGAUGAUAUCACACAUUAUAUUGGUGCAACGUGGAUGAAAUAGAGGCUUGCAUCCGGAGUCUUGUGUGCUAAAAAGGUACCACAAAAACUUAAAGGUAAGUUUUAUAGUGUAACACCUUGGACUUUGGAGAAGGUAAGGGAGGUUAACAUGCAAGUCCUCAAACCCAAAAUGGACCUAGAACCCUUCACGGAACCCUAAACAGUCUGUGUAGGGCAUCACUGGCCAUUUUAAGGGAAGUAGACCAACCGUUAAAAGGCUGUUAGGACCUGAGGGUCUCCCGAACGGAUCCCUAUACGGUCUUUGGUGACCUAAACGGACCAUUUAGGGAUCCAUAUAGGUCACCCAUCAGCUUUUAAGUUUGGGGUCAUUUUGGUCUUUCCCCUAUCUGUUUGGUACCUGAUUAUUUUCGAUCAAACACAUAUGGAGACCCUUAAACUUGUCCCUAAAUUUCAUUUUGGCACUCCAACUCAACCUUGUUCCAUUUUAACCCUUUAACUCCAAUUUUUAUGUUUCAUUUAGGCACUUUUAAGUGAUGUGGCAGAGUGUGUGCAUCACACUUUCUCUAAGAGAGUGAAAGACAAAAAAAAUGUUUUUUUCUUUAAAAAAAUAAUAAAAGAUUGACCCUUCAACUUUUUUGAUGUACCAUUUAAACAUAAAAUACUUAUUUUACGAUUUCUUUAUUUCUAUAUAUGCUCUUCAACUGCAAUUUUGCAUUUUAAAAAUCGACGUUCAUCCGUUAGGUAUUGUAAAAAAAAUUAAAAAUUCACAGAUGAUCAUUGAUUUUUUUUUUUUUUUUUUUUAAAAAAGUAACAAUUUCUUUAUGAGAGUUUCUUUGUAUUUUUGUGUGAAAAAUAACCUACGAAAGUGCGUCGAUUUUCUUUCUUAAAAAAAUCAAUGAAAACCCAACGAAGUGUGUCGAGUUUAAGCGUUUUUUGUAGUGUUAAUAAUUAGCAGUGAACAUGAGUUUUUUUUACUCGUAUUUAGUUGAUGAAAAAUUAGAAAACUGGUAUUUGAGUUAAAUCCAAAUAGACUAGAUAUGGAAAAAAAAUAUGUGGUGUCAUUUAAUUUAAUUAAUUGUUUUAAAAAAGAAAAACAACACACUUUCGUCGGUUAUUUUUUUACAUAAUAAUGUACAGAAACUCUAAAAAAAUAAUUUAAAAAUGAUGUUCAUCCGUUAAUUUUUUUUUAAAGAUAUGACAUUGAUUUUUAAAAUGAAAAAGUGGAAAUGAAGAACAUAAAUAAAAAUAAAGAAAUCAUAAAAUUAGUAUUUUGUGUUUAAAUGGUAUAUAAAAUAGAGUUGAAGGGUUAAAAUGGAACAAGGCUAAAAUACAGUGUCAAAAUAAAAAAUGGGAGCAAGUUAUAUUAGUCGUGUGUGUGUUUUUAAUUGGCUUUUGUGCCAUGUCAUGGAUGUGAAGUACACACAUCCACUUUGUUGAUUCUUUGGAAAGAAGUGCCUAAAUGGAACAUAAAAAUUGGAGUGGCCCAGUGGUUUGGGCUUGGGACUUCCAUGUUGGAGGUCUCAAGUUCAAAACCCCUUGCCAGCGAAAGCAAGGGGUUUGCCUUCUGGGUCGAGCUCAUCGCACCAGGCUUGCCUAGUGCAGGUUACCUCUCCUAUGUGGUUUGCGAGCUAUUGCAUAGGAGCAGGGGUUUUAUAAUGUGCGCACCCAAAUGGUAGCGGCUGUGGGUUUCCCUUGUCAUCAAAAAAAAAAAUGGAGUUGAAAGGUUAAAAUGGAACAAGGUUGAGUUGGAGUGCCAAAAUGAAAAUUAGAGACAAGUUUAAGGGACUGCAUAUGUGUUUGGGCCAUUAUUUUCCUAUGUUAGGUCUUGAUUAGUUUGGUAUCCGGAUAUGUCAUCAAUGAUCAUGGACCAAGUUUCUAAACCUAUAUCAUUAGUAGUAUGGCACUUUUAGUAUGAAGUUAAUGAUUGUGUCUUAUAAAGCUAUUAUGAAAAGAUCUUGGAUGGUGAAAGGUUUUCUCAUGCAUGGUCUAAGGAGCUACUCUAUGAUGUUUCUAGAUUGGAUUAGUAACUUAAUAAUACUUUUCCAUGGAUGAUAAUAUGAAUAAGAUUAAUGACUAUUCCGUGGAAUUUAACUUAGCAUUGAGAGGAUAUUGAGUUCGUAGAGGUCCAGCCUCUAAUAACAAUCUCCUUGACUGUAACUAUGUGUCACCGUAGGAUGUUGUCUCAGAUAGACAGUAGCUAGUGGAUCCACCUUAGCUCAGACUCGUGGUCCUACCUUGGCAAGUAGGACACUCUUUUUUCGGUGUGGGAGCAGUACACUAGAUUCCAUGUUAUAGCUCACAUGGUCUAUGUCAAUUACAUGGUAAACUUCUCUCAAUAAUAAACUAAGGUUACUUUCAAAGUAUCUCACAAGUGUUUUAAAGAUGGUCAGCUUGCAUUGACCAUGAUUAUGACUUAUGUUUCUAACCUUUUGUCUUAUGAGUUACUUGGUCAUUGCAUGCCAUGUAAAGUCCUUUUAGCAUGAUUUCAUAACUCCUAUGCAUUGCUAUCACUUGGAUUUGCUACACUUGAGCCGAGGGUCUUUUGGAAACAACCUAUCUAUCUCCACGAGGUAGUGGUAAGGUAUGCGUACACUCUCCCUCCCCAGACCCUACUUGUGAGAUUCCACUGGAUAUGUUGUUGUACUAAAGAUGAAUUGAAGAAACAAAAGUCAGAUGGAUAUGUGCUUCCUGGAGUCAUCAAUCGGGUAAAAUGUUUCUGAAAAAAGACAAGGAACUAAAAACUGGAUAAUGGGUUAUUUAAACAUGAUGAAUAGGAAGGCUCGCUAAGUUCAUUGGCAUAAGAUAAGGAAAUAAUUGCAACAUUAAGUUUGUAGAAAUCAAGAAUGGUGCGACUAUUCUAACUUCUAUGAUAGCAGCAAUAACCAUCAAGAUAGCUUCUUCUUUCUCUAAAAUUAAUCCUGGUGUGAUGGAACAUCAACAUAUCCCUAUUCCCUUGCCACUAUGGUCAUCAUGAGGUGAUCUAAUGAUUUUAUAGAUGAGAGCCACCAUGAGAAUUUGACUAAUUUUUCAAUCAGCGCUUGCUUAUUUAUUCUGAUAUCCAUCAGAUUAAAUGGAAGCUUUUUGAAAUAGACAGUAGGCAGAAGCCCUGUGACUCAAUUAGAGAAAACCACAACAUUAGAUUCAAAGGAAGAAAAGCCUAUUAUCUUUGUGAGGAUAGGGUUGUCCCCAGGGAUCCGAUCAAGUAAAUACAGUGAUCUAUCAGCAAAUGAAAAGAUAAAUAAGCACAAGGAACUCGGGAGAAAUAAGAUUCGGGAUAACUCAGGUUCCUUCAAAUCAGUUCAAAGAGAAAAGGACAUGAAAUAAUAAAGGCUGAGUUUCAUCAGUGCUCACCCCUACACGUAUAUUGGAGCAAGAGCGGUGCUAACUUUUGCACAGGAUUGACUGACUGACUCACUGAGAAUUCCUUCUAAACUGGAAAUUCCAUCCAUGCUGUGUCCAAACCUCAGCUACACUCACUUGUUUAUUCACUGCCAAGUCAUGCAUCUCUGGAAAGAUACUUUUCAAGCUAAAGUUGCCCAACCAUUUAUCCUCCCAAAAUGAAGUCUUGAUGCCAUUUCCUACCCUGAUGGUCGUAUUGAUCUUCAAGAGAGGCCACAAGAUUCUAAUGGACUUCCAUAGGCUUACCCCAUAUGGUGUAAGGACCUCCUUUGUCAUCCACUUGUUCUCCUCUCCAUAUUUUGCUUGAAUUACUUUUCCCUAGUAUGGUUGAGGCUCUUGAGAAUACCUCCAUAACCACUUUAGUCUAAGGGCUUUGCUCUGCUUUUUCAAAUUCCUUACUCCAAGACCCCCCAUGUUUCUUCCCCCAGAGAACCUUCUUCCACUUGACUAAAUGUUUGACAGUGGAAUCAUUUUCCUCUGUCCCUUUCCAUAAGAAAUCCCUCCUAAUUUUAUCAAGUCUUUGUAUCACCCCAUUAGGAAUAGGGAAGAUGGACAUCAUGUAAGUAGGUAAGGCAUCCAAAAUUGAAUUAAUGAGAGUGACUCUGCCUCCCAAGGAGAUAUAUUGAGAUUUCCAUUUGGUAAGCUUGUUCUCACACUUUUCAAUCACUGGUUCCAGAUGUUCAAAGCCUUUGGUUUGGCACCUAAGGGCAUGCCCAGAUAAAUGGUAGCAAAGAACCUACUUCCCCUCCCAAAAUCCAAGACAGUUCCUCCAUAUUAGAGACAUUAUUAAUAGGAUACAACUGACUCUUUCUCCAGUUGAUAUGCAAACCUGAGACUCCUUCAAACAGCACCAAGAUUGAUCUUAAAACCAAUAGUUGUCCCUCAUUAGCAUCACAAAAUAUUAAGGUGUCAUCUGCAUACUGUAAAUGAGUGACUUCCAUGUUGCUAUUUGAUAUUGAGGUUUGAGUUGUGGCUACCUCAAAACCCCUGAGGCUGAUGGGCCUAAAAUCUCUCAGUUCCUUGGCACCUUUCUUCUUUGGGAUCAAAGCAAUGUAGGUGGCAUUAAAGCUCUUCUCAAAGAUAUUAUGAGAAUGGAAAUUCUUAAAGGUAUCCAUGAUAUCCUUCUUCACUACAUCCCAACACUUGAUAAAAAACCCCAUUGUGUAGCCAUCUGGACCAGGAGCUUUGUCCAUGGCACACAUCUUCAGACAUGCUAGUACUUCUUGCUCCUCAAAUUCCCUUUGUAAUAGUUCAUUUUCAGCUUCAGUGACCAUUGGACAGUUGAGGUUGCUGGAAGGUCUUCUAUAUGAGGUUUCUAAAUAAAGCUUCUGAUAAAAACCAAUAAUCUCCCCUUUAAUUCUCUCUGGAUCCUUCACUGUUUCAUCUUGAAAUAUCAGUUGAUCAAUGUUGUUGCAUCUUUUGUGUGCAUUGGCCACUUUGUGGAAAUACUUAGUAUUUUUGUCCCCCUCUUUCAGCCACACAACUCUUGAUCUUUAUCUCCAUGCUAUCUCUUCAUUUUUAAGAUGCUCUUCAUAGUUCAUAAUCAAAGAUGCCUUCAUUGCUGAUUCUUCUUCUGUUAGGACUCUAUUCUCCAUUACCGCAUCCAACAUAACUAACUGACUUAGGAUUUGGACCUUUUGUAACCCUAGGUUGCCCAAGCUGGUUCUACUCCACUCCUUCAAUUUGCCUUUUAGGGCCUUGAGCUUACACCCAAGGAUAUAAUCAUGCUUACCAGUGAAUACAAAAGACUCCCACCAUUCUCUAAUUUUUUCCACAAAACCCUCCGUGUUGAGCCACCAAUUAUCAAACUUGAAAUAGGAUUUGUUUUGCUCCCAAGCUCCACAUUGUAGAGCAAUGGGACUGUGAUCAGAGCACAGUCUCGGUAGCACCACUUGUUGAAUUUGCUAAAGUUGGCAUCCCACUCCUUCAAAAUUAAAAUCCUAUCAAUUCUAGAAGCAACAUUGUUAUUGUCCCCUUUAAACCAAGUGUAGUUACCCCCUAUCAAUUGUUCCACCAAGUCCAUAUCUUCAAUAAAAUCAGAGAACUCUAUCAUACCUAGAGUUCUCCUUUUGCAAUUUCUCUUUUCUGGUGGAUAUCUUAUGAUGUUGAAAUCUCCACACACUGCCCAAGGUCCCUCAAAAAGACUUCUAACAGCACCUAUUUCCUCCCACACAUGCUCUCUCUCAACUCUGCCAUUAGGAGCAUAGACUCCUGUUAUGUGGCAAUUGAAAUCCUGAAGCACUGCCUCAAACUUGCAGGUGAGGAUGUAGGAACCUGUUUCCAGCACUUCCCCUUUCCAUGAUCUACUGCCCAUAACAUCAAAAUGCCCCCCCUAGUGUCACUUGCUUGUAAACAAGCAUACUUAACCCGUCUACCACCCCAGAUAUCUUUUAUUAUAUCAUGGAUCUCCCUCUCUAACUUUGACUCUUGUAAACAUACAAUGUCAGCCUUCCAGUUGGAGAUUAAACUCUUCACAAAUCUCCUCUUAUCCCCACUAUUCAAUCCCCUAACAUUCCAGGACACAAGUUUUACUUUCAUUGUAAAACUUUGUCCUAUUUCCCCCUCUCUCUCUUCCCCUCACAUUUGAAAUUAAUAUCAAAAGAAGUCAGCAUUUUCAAGUCCUGAACCCCCUUGUACCUAGGCCUUUUGCUAAUAGAAUCACUUUCCAUCUUCCUAGCUUGUCUGCAACUGUCUAUUUGCAUAGGUAGCUCCAGAGAUUCCUCCUCAUGUCCUUGAAAAUCCACACCAAACAUUUUUCCCAGCUUGAUAAGAUUUUUUCUUACCCACAUAGAUGUCUCCUUUUCUUUUUGUACUGCAGAGCUCAUGCCAUUUUGUAUGGGAUACACAUCUUCCACCACCCACUCCUCAAUUUAUUUGUCAGUCUGCAUGCUUGAUGUGGUAUUUUGGAUCCUUCUGAAUUUCCAAAAUUAAAUUUGCUUUGUCACUGCUAACCUCCAUCGCCAUCGUUUUGAGGGGAUUCAAAGCAUCUCCUGAGUUUACAAUUGAGUUCCCAUGUUCUGCAUGCCCUUCAUUUGCUGUAGUAUCAUGUUGUAGAAGAGUGCUCUUAAGAACUGGAGCAUGGUCCUUUAUUUCAAAGCAUAAAGAAUCAAUAAAGGCAACCUCACUUGGGCCUAAUAAGUCAUUUAAAAUGAUAUUUGCUCUAUCAGGCCCAAUCUUUUUUUUACUAUUGCCCCAGCCCAAUUUUUUUCUAAAAUAGACUUGGGUCUCCACUUCCUUAGCACAUGAGUGUGGGGUCUCAUUUAAAAAGACUCCAGCUGUCUCUGGGAGCCCCAUGUGCCUCAUCUGCACACCAUCUGACUUUUUAAAAAAAAAUUGUCCUUUAGAUAGCUCUAUUACCUGUUGGUCCAAAGAUAGUGGCAGACCUCCAUGUUCUUUGCUGCACUCUCCCAGCUCCGGCAUGACUAGCUGGUGAUUUUCUUCUACCGUCGGCGUCAAGAUUUGGAAUCGAACUUUCGUCUCUACCCAAAUUGGGAUAAAAAAAAUUUAUCCCGUCUCUCUCAAUCGAAAUCUCGCUCGGGCAGUUUUUUCCAUCUCCACGGAUUUUAAUUCUUGUCCACUUCAAAUGGUUCUUCAAACCCGUCUCCUCCACAAAGAUUUCCAAUUUCUGUGAAGAUUCUUUGUGACCAUAGUUGUAGAGGUACUCCUAAAGCUCUAAUCCAAGUAGCUUUGGCUUUUUGAUUGGAAUCUUCACAUCCUACUACAGGGUUCCACCACUGAAGAUUAAAUUUGAUCUUCCCCCACCUCUGUAUGAUUUGUUCUGCCAUGUACCUGUUUGGAAAUUCGAAGAGGAAUAUGUUGUUGGCCGUCUUGUAAAUGUUGAUCCCAAACACUCCUUUCCAAGAGACUGCAAUCCAUCUCGGGAAGUUGUAUUUCACCCUCAUCAAAAGAGCCCACAAUGCACCUCUUGAAAAGUCCAGACUCCAGUGUCUCUUACCCCUGGUGUCUCUGUAACUUGAAGGUUUCCUUCACUGUACGAGAUCUUCGUCUCACCCGAAGUGUUUGAUCUCCAUUUGCUUUCCCCAGCUGCUGUGGCAUAAGAGAGGUCCUUCUUAAAUAGUUUGGGUUGUACUGCAUUCUUCAGUUGAUGAGAGCAUUGAAUGAACCUCUCUAUCUUAGAGGCUAUCUCAUCCCACCCAGCAUCUGUAGCUAACUCUGGGGGACUAUUAUAACUACUCUUUCCCGACCAGCAAGAGUUAAAAUGCUCAAGAAUCUACUGUACUCAAUCACUUUCCUAGUGCAGAAAGUGUCAGUAAAUUUUUCUUUGUAUUUCCAUCUUCUGAUUUCUUUUUCUCUAUCCUUGGAUGCUUCCUUGAAGACUGUGCAGAGCCAUUUCAUGAUUUUCACACUCAUGGAAGACCUCAUCAUUUUGCGACUUCUCUCGACCCAUUCAAACCAAAUGUCUCUCCCCACUGUCCAUCUUGUGAUAUCGAAAGACUUGAAGCCUGCGUUGAAAUAUAUCCUGUUUUCCUCCAUCAAAGAUCUAGACUGUUGAUCCUUCUGUUGGUUAGGUUUUUGCUGCAAACAAGCAGAUUGAAUUUCUCUUGUAUAACCAUACUAGUGUUUCCAACUUCUCAAGAAAUAUAAAGCUUCCUUAUUAUGGUUUCUACUUAAAUGAUGAAGAGAUGUGGAUUGAAAAGAUAAGAUUGUUUUUAGAAGGUAAGUGACCGAGUAUUUUCUGAGAAAUGGGUACUAUAAGUAUAGCAAAAUAAUGAAUUGGCAUUCGAGCUCUAAUACCAAAAUCUAUGCAACACCACAAGCGAAGAGGGAGAAGAAUAGAGCGAGAAAGAAGAUCUGGAAAGAAGAGCAAGAUAGAAGUCAGAUCAAUUCACAGAGCAUCUUUAGUCAAGUAUUUUCCCAAACGAAGCAAUAAAUGGUCCUGUUUAUAGUAUGCAACACUAAACAAGCUAGAUGUGGGAGAUAAUAAAAACUUGUUCACGAGAUAAGGGCAGAUACAAACUUAAACUUAGAGGUGAGUAUGUUUCUCUCUCGACACACAGUAGCCUAACCUGCGCCACCCAUGGGAAAGAGAGUUCGCACUCCCUCUCAGAAGGUACUCAUGUCCCAAGAGAAUGCAUCUAAGGCUGGCAAUCAACAGAAGAAGAAAGGAAAUCAAACAAUCAAGGAGGUUGUGAAGGUCACUAAUGGAACAGUUACUCCAGGGACUGCUGCACAUCGUACAGGAAUAGUGGUCUAUCAUAUCCAGGUUGAACUGACUCAGGAAGAAGGGGCGGCUCACAAGCAAGCUGAAAUUGCUUCAACACAAUUAAGGAGCACACUGAGGAGGAAGGAUAACCAGGUGACGGAGGAAACCCUAGAGAAAACCAUUGGAACAAUAACUGUAGGUUACUGUAUCUCCAAGCAGUUCUAAAGUGGGAAAUCACAUACAGCAGCUCAGCCCUGCAAGUCAGGCCACAGUAACGUCCCGAAAUACCUUGGGCAGAUAAGGUUGAAAGCUCACAUGAGUUGAACAAGAAUAGGUCCAUAUGGGACAAUUUUGAUAUUACCAAAAUCUCUAAUGCAGGGUUUAAGCUUGAAUUGGUAGAACCUGAAAUGCAUGGUGAGGUAGGAUAUUAGUACUGAAAUAGCAUAUUGGAAGAAUGUUGUAAUAUGAUAUGUAUUGGGGGACACCCACCCUUUUCUGUACUGAAUGGCUACAUCCAUAGACUAUGGGCUAAAAAUGGGAUUAACAAGGUGGCAAUGCUAAAGAUUGGAAUUGUUUUGGCCAGGUUUGAUACAAACCUGGGGAAGGAUUGUUGAAGUUUGCUUUUAGUUACUGUAGUAACAGAGAAUCUUCAAAACCAAGCUACUGGACAAAGUUUCACAAAUCAAGGAAUCUGGAAAGGAAGGCAAAUCAUGUCAAGAAGGAAGAAGAUCAUGAACAUAUAUGAUAUGGACGUGAUCACAAUCUACCCUAAAUCAGACUCGGUCAAGGAAUUCACUACAAAUCCUUGAUUGAAUGAAAUACCCAUGGGUUUUUCCUUAUAAGAGCAAAGAGCUAGAUCAUACAAACUAGACUUAGGAUUAGAGGAAGUCCACGCACUUCACUCUAUUGUAUUAUCUUUCUUUCAUCCUUCAUAAAACAUUUGUACCUGUGUAUGAAACUAUGAUUUUGGAUUUGCCGGAUGACUUGUUUAUCAAAUUAAUGCUCCUAAGAUUUAUGGACCUUUCUUGGACAAAGAUAAAACGGUUGCCAGAUUCUAUUUGUGCAUUGUAUAACUUGGAGACACUCCUCUUGUCAUGUUGUUAUUGUCUUGAGGAGCUACCGCUGCAGAAGGUUGAUUAAGUUUGUUGAAGUUUGCUUUUAGUUAUUGCAGUAACUUUUAGCAAUAAGUUAUUUAGUUUGAAUAAAUUUGAAUUUUGAAUUUUGAAUUUUAGUUUGUUUGUUUAUGUUGUUGAGAUAUUUUAGGUUUAAAUUUUAAAUUAUGCAGAUUAUGUGUUUUAUGUUGGCUAUUUAAAGCCCCUCAAUGCUUAAUAAAAUUAUUGAAAUCUAUUGAAAGUCAUUUCAAUCCAUUGAGAGAAAUUUUCAAUCUUUUUUGCCCCAUUUUUAAAAAACACCAACAGUGGUAUCAAGAGCUUCAUUGAUCUUAAGGGAUUUGUGAAAUCUUUCAAAGAACUACCAUACAUUUUUAACCCAUAAGGGCUACCUUUUUAACCCAUCAAGGCUACCUUUUCAACCGGUGCUUUUUUCAACGCAUAUGCUUUUCUAUAGGAAGGCAAAUCAUGUCAAGAAGGAAGAAGAUCAUGAACAUAUAUGAUAUGGACGUGAUCACAAUCUACCCUAAAUCAGACUCGGUCAAGGAAUUCACUACAAAUCCUUGAUUGAAUGAAAUACCCAUGGGUUUUUCCUUAUAAGAGCAAAGAGCUAGAUCAUACAAACUAGACUUAGGAUUAGAGGAAGUCCACGCACUUCACUCUAUUGUAUUAUCUUUCUUUCAUCCUUCAUAAAACAUUUGUACCUGUGUAUGAAACUAUGAUUUUGGAUUUGCCGGAUGACUUGUUUAUCAAAUUAAUGCUCCUAAGAUUUAUGGACCUUUCUUGGACAAAGAUAAAACGGUUGCCAGAUUCUAUUUGUGCAUUGUAUAACUUGGAGACACUCCUCUUGUCAUGUUGUUAUUGUCUUGAGGAGCUACCGCUGCAGAAGGUUGAUUAAGUUUGUUGAAGUUUGCUUUUAGUUAUUGCAGUAACUUUUAGCAAUAAGUUAUUUAGUUUGAAUAAAUUUGAAAUUUGAAAUUUAGUUAGGUUGUUUAAGUUGUUGAGAUA
Molecule: long non-coding RNA, 69937 nt
Filed under: Solanum tuberosum (potato)
Lineage: Eukaryota; Viridiplantae; Streptophyta; Magnoliopsida; Solanales; Solanaceae
Description: long non-coding RNA (STUB_LNC008123)
Source: RNAcentral